This 70523-nucleotide long non-coding RNA is filed under the name Prunus persica (peach). RNAcentral's name for it is "long non-coding RNA (PPER_LNC005161)". Lineage: Eukaryota; Viridiplantae; Streptophyta; Magnoliopsida; Rosales; Rosaceae. The record is from RNAcentral.
UUUUUUUUUUUUUGUUGUUGUCAAAACUAUAGAUCCUGGCUCUAAAUUAAUUAAGUUUCUUUUUCUUCUUAUGCUCUGGUAUUGUUUCAGACUUGGAACCCAGCGGCUUACAAUCUGUUACUAAUAACAGUUGUGAUUAACACUGUAAUCUCAGGGCCAGUUGUGGCUUUGUUAAUAAGAAGAGAAGAAAAACUCUUCACUCACACACACACCUCCCUCGGCUUUGAGCCCGAAAAUCCCGACCAAAACGAGCUCCGCCUCCUCGCCUGCGUCUACGGUCCCCGCCACAUCUCUGCCAUCCUCUCCGUCAUCGCCACCAUCCGCGGCACCCAAACAGCAUCCAUCAUGCCCUACAUGGCUCACCUUAUCGAGCUCAACCAAAAACGACGCACCAACGUGUCGUAUCACGAGCUCGAAGCCGAGGAAAUGAGCGACGAGGAAGACUACGGCGGCAACGACGUCCUCGAAAUCCAUGCAGCCGUCGACGCCUUCACUGCCGAGACCCAGAUCCUAAUCAACCUCAACAAGGCCGUGUCCACGUUGUCGAAUUUACAUGAGGAGGUGUGUAACGCAGCCGAGGACUUGCGUGCGACGAUUAUUUUGCUGCCGUUUCACAAGCACCAAAGGAUCGACGGCAAAAUGGAGUCCGGGAAGGACGCUGUACGGACCACGAAUCAAAAGAUUCUUCGUCACGCCCCGAGCUCUGUCGGGAUGAUCGUCGAGAAAGGGCUGGCCGGGGCGUUAGGGUUUUCGCAGUUGUUUACCGUGGACAUUAUGCAACAUGUUGCGACGCUAUUUUUCGGGGGGCCCGAUGACCGCGAGGCCAUUGCUUGGAGUACAAGGAUCGCAAACCAUCCAAGGGUUAACUUGACGGUGGUUAGGUUUUUGGCGACGGAGUCAUCCAACACUCGGAAUAUGAAGGUGGAGAAUGAAACGGGAGGCAAUAGUGAUAUUGAGGUUUACAUGGCCUUGUCGAGUUUAGAAACGGGCAAUGACAUUGACAAUGCCUUUCUCAAUGACUUCUAUAAUGGGUACGUACCACCUCUAUAUUUAUCUUAUAGUGCGAAUGUUAAUGAAUAACUAUUAAUCAAAUUUUCUUAUAGUUUUUUUUUUUUGGGUUUCAAAAUAAGCAUAUGGAUAUUUUCAAUAAACAUUUGUGUCUUAAUUGGUUGGGUAGGUAUGUGGCGUCUGGUAAAGUUGGGUACGUAGAGAAGCAGGUAAAUAAUGGAGCAGAAACAGUGGCAGCCCUAAGAGACAUUGGAGACUUGUACUCUCUGUUUAUAGUAGGGAGGGGUGGUCGAGGACACUCACCAUUGACAACCGAGCUCAGUGAUUGGGAAGAGUGCCCUGAACUUGGAACAGUAGGAGAUCUCUUGGCUUCUUCAGACUUCAAUAUCAAUGGCUCAAUCUUGGUCGUCCAACAACAUAGAAAUUCCAAGAAAGAACUUGUAGAUGAUUAGCUAUAUAUUGUGAAUUUAUAAUUAUUUCAUAAUGUAAUUUAGUGCUUCCUUCAAUAUUGUACAUACUCAAAUAUAUAAUAGGGUUUUCGACUAUGGCUGGAUCAUCCUAGUUUCUGUCUUAUAUAUCAUUUAUACAUAUACAAGAAAAGGCCUCAUUAAACUUCUUGGUCCUUAUCAUAGGGAAAUCUUUAAUCUUUAAAGGGUUAGCCCAAAAAGCCAGACCACAGCGUCCGAAUCGGAAUCCAUUUCGAAAUAUGUUUCAGAAAAUUGCGACAUGGUGGAUGAACAUGAAGCUCUUAAGAAUGCAGUUCACAUGCCCAAUGAAUGUGACCUGAACUUAUAACCACAUCAUGUAAUCUAGGCAGAAGGCCUUAUAAGUGAAACAUUCAAAAUCCUCAUCUUAAAAGUGAAACAUUCAAAAUCCUCAAAAUUUCUAUUGAUUAAUAAAAAUACUAAAACAUAAGACGCUUUAUUAAAUAGGGACUAAAUAAAACAUUCACAAUGUAUUUAAAUUAUAAAAAAAAAAUUGUACUGCAGUUGUCCAUAAAAGCAGGAGACAACUACCUUCAAAACUUACCAUUUGAAUAUUAAAUUGUUUAAUUUAUAAAACUUAGUAAAAAAAAUCCAAUUGGCGCACGCGUGAGAGUGUACUAAAAGGGGCGCCAACGGGGUCUAACCUAGUGGAAAAGGUCCUUAACUUGCAGAUCAGUGAUUUCAAGUUCGAACUCCUAUACCACAUUGGUAGUGUGUAUGAGAAAUCCCUUACUUUUGUAAUUUAGACCAUCACUUGUAUUUUUGUUUAAAAAAAAACAAAUGUGCCACUUCAUUAAUUGAUUUACGCAAUACACCCAUUGAUAGUUUGCAAUCAUUUAGAUUCUCUAAUUAUGGAGACAGUGAGCACUUAAAAACUCAUUUUAAUAAAAUACGAAUGUAUUUUCCAUUUUAAUAUGAAUUGAUUACCAUUAAUACUUAUGAGUGGCCAAAGAAGACUUGAAUAAUCUUGAUCUUUGAUCAAACUAUAUUGAAGAAUAUAAGUCCCACAUCGAAAACUUGACUAAGUAAAAUAUAGUAUACAAUGAAUGGUUCCAUUAUUAAUAUCACCGAGGCCUUUUGUAUAAAACCCCACACCUGCUAAACAGGUGGUUAAGUUGGGGACAAUAUUGAUGUUGCUAGUGCUGGGCUAAGAGUCUGUCCCUCUGAAAUCUUAACAUGGUAUUAGAGCCAGGUUACUAAUCCUUGAGAUCCUAUGACAAAUUGAGACUCAUUGGCAUUCCUUAUUCCUAACCCAUCAUAGGUCUUCACCUUGCUGUAAAUCCCCGUUUCUCCUUUCCUUAAUAAUCAACAUAUAUUUCUUAUGCCUUAGCCAUAACCGCACAUUUCUGCAAUUUUACCCUUGUCUCUGUCCUUGCCAUGUUUAUGUUGAGUCAUUACCUUUAUUUUUCUCUACCUAUGCCUGCUGCUGCCUUUUUUCUCUUACUUUUCAUCUCUCUAUGAGCUUGCUUUAUGUUAAAAUCAGAUUGAGCCCAUGUUAGUUUCAAUCUCUUGCGCUCACAGUCGAGCCUCUCUUUUAAAUGUAUACCAUAUGGGCAACACGCCCCUUGGCCAUUGAUGGCCUGAUCUCUUUCCUCCAUGAGCCUCGUCACUGCUCAUCGAGCCAUCUCAAACCUCUGCAAGCCUCGUCACAGCUAGCCAAGCCUUCUCAUAGCUGGCCUUUGUCUCUCUAUUUAUUAAGGUGUUACUUUCUCCAAAUCUCAACUCUCAUACAUCGUCGGAUUUGAGGGGAAGUGGCACUGCUGCUCAUCUAUUCCAUUGCAAUUCACCUACCUAUCUAUCAUGGUUGAUUGUCCAUGUCCGUUUCUCAAGUACCACUGAUCAUUUGGCUCUAUCGACCCCUUCUUUUUAGGGGGAGAGGGAGAGUGAAGAGAAAUUGUCUCUGUUGUUGCUGCUGCCACAGUUGUUUGCCUUGCCUUGUCUUGCUGGUGCUAAUAUCUUAUAUUGCUCUUGCUGGUGCCAGUGCAUUGUGUUGCUCUUACUGCUGUUAGUUUUGUUGUCUCUUGCUGGGGACAUUGUUGUUGUUGCUUCUAUCGUGUUCGUGCCUUUGCUGGUGUGUUUUUUCCGCUGCGAUCAUGACCAUUGACCUUGCCUUUGUUUGCUUCGCUUUUCGUUGCUAUGGUUUUUGCUGAUGAUGUUGCCAUGUUUUUUAUCUGUCUCUUCCUUAACCUUAAACAAUACAUAUUUCUGCUGCACUAUACACCUAGCCCAUAAUCCUAGCCCGCCACCAUCAUCUACCUUGCUACCGUUGCUGCCGCCUACCUUGCUAUUGCCUCCGAUGCCGCCACCCAACCAUCCAUCAUCAUUCCCAAUGUUGAUGCCUUUAUUUCUUCACUUGCCUCUUGUUCUGCCUUACUUAUUGUCGUGCUCGCAGGGUUUCUAUGUUUUGCCUUAUCUACUGCCGUGAUCACAGGGCUUUUGUGUUAUGCCUUACCUACUGCCGUGCUCACAGGAUUUCUGUGUUCUGCCUUACCUACUGCCGUCCUCACAGGGUUUCUGUUUUCUGCCUUACCUAUUGCCGUGCUCACAGUGUUUCUGUGUUCUGCCUUAUCUACUGCCAUGCUCACAGGGUUUCUGUGUUCUACCUUACCUACUGCCGUACUCACAGGGUUUCUGUGUUCUACCUUAUAUAUUGCCGUGCUUACAGAGUUUCUGUGUUCUACCUUACCUGCUGCCGUACUCACAGAGUUUCUGUGUUCUGCCUUAUAUAUUGCCAUGCUCACAGGGUUUCUGUGUUUUGCUAUGUGCCUUAUUUUUUACGGUUUGCUCUUGUGUUUUCAAUGCGAACUUUGCUUUAGUUUGUCACUUGUUUCACUCGUGGUUGAUGAAAAGACCUUCUCUACAAUUGGUGCUUGUCAAGUAUGGUGUUCUGUGACUCGCUUGUCAAGUUCGGCGUGCGAAAUAUCUUUGCCCAACUUGAGGGGGAGUGUUGGCGAGUCCUUACUUAGUUAGGAUUUUGGUUCCUUAUUUUAUUAGAAUUUUGGUUACUUACCAAUUAUUAUUUAGUCUUAUUGUAAUAGAGAUUUACUUCCUAUUGUAAUUUAGAUAUAUUUCCUAUUUUAUUUAGGGUUAACACAUCUUUGUACUUGUAUAAAUACCUCAAUAUCGGAGAAGAAUAAUAAUAUGAGCAUAGGUGAGCAUAUCUGAAUAUUUACCCUACUUUGUUUAACAUGGUAUCAAAGCGAGUUUAUUGACUGGGACUGAAUUGGGCCUUUACCCUUACCCAAUAUAUGUGGUGUUCAUAUGUAAGGCUUGAAUGUUUACCCCUACCCCUUACCCAAUACGUGUUGUUCAUGUGUUGGACUUAAAUGAUUGACUCCGAUGUGGACUUGGCUCCACGUGUGGCCCACUAUGUGGUGGUCUCAUGUGAGGGGGCGUGUUAAAGAAUAUAAGUUUCACAUCGAAAACUUGACUAAAUAAAAUAUAAUAUAUAAUGUAUGGUUCCACUAUUAAUAUCACCUAGGCCUUUUAUAUAAAACCCCACUUAUACCAAACAUGUGGUUAAGUUGGGGACAAUAUCGAUGUUACUAAUGGUGGGCCAAGAGUCUGUCCCUCUGAAAUCUUAACACAAACCAUGAGUGAUAACUAGCAAUACAUCCUUUUAGCAGUCUAAGUAGAAUAGUGUACAACCUAAUACUUGAGUUACACUCUUCUUAGGCCAUGAUUUCUGUCACGCCCCAACCCACGGAUUUACGUAACUUUAGGUUAAGACGUGAUUCACACCUUAAUUAUAGAAUUUAAUAAAAACUAUAACUCAAAUGUGAAGAAACAUUUAAAUAAAUAAAAUAAAUAUUUCACAUAGAAUAUUCAACAGAAACGCGGAAACGACAACAUCUGAAACUUUAAAAUUUUUACAUUAUUUUACAAGUUAGAACUACUCGAGAGUUCACUGAAAGAGUAGCUUAUUAUUCAUCCACAAGCUAUGUACAUAAUACACUCUAUAGACAUGCCAAAAUCAUCACAAGCUCUAGAUUUUAGGUUCAGUACUGCAAAAUCUAUUAGGGGGUGAGCGAAACCACAGCUCAGUAGGGACAUAAACCUUUUUACUGUACAUUGAUAUAAUUAAAUUAAGUGACAAAUAAUCAUACAACCAAAUAUCAUAUUAUUAAUAACAAUGCAUGAAUACUCUUCAUCUAAUCCUGUUAAUUCAUAGAACUGGACAAACAGACCUGCACAUCCCAUACCAUGCUUAUACCACUUGGUCCUGAAUGCCCAUUUAUAUGAAUUUACACCCAUUUCAAUCAUUCUAUAAUUUUUCUUUUGUUAGUCAUCUUGUCUAACUCCUUGUCGCCAGUCCCAAAUCACCCAAAAAACCAUGUGCAUUGUGGAAUUCCUGAGACCUGGUACAUGCCAAGAGUUAGACUCAACUACACAAAAAAUUAUUUCCAUUACCCUCUUUUCCACCAUUAUUUUCUCAACUCCAGAAUUCUAGCCAAUUUCCAUGACAUGAUAUAAUUAUACCCUUCACAACCAUGUAGCCAUUUAAAACAUCACUAAUGCACAUAUAAUUAUGCCCACAUUGUUCAAAUAGUUAAGAGUACAUAAAUUUCCAAUACGUAAAUUAAACAAUACCACAUUAACCAAAUAGUUAACAAUUUAUAAACAUCCAAUAUAAAAAAUAUCCAUUACACAUAAUAUAGAGCUCACGAAAUUUAAUUAGAUCAAUUUCUACAAAAGGCCCCAUUGAAACCCAUAUCUUGACACCAAAGCUUUUGCUAAAAACGUAAGGUGUUUCUUAAUUUUCCACCGCAUUCACAAACUCAGUUUCUCACUCUUUUUCUUACUCCUCUCUACCACUAUUUCUCUCUUGUUGUUUUUUUUUUCAUUUGAUGUGCAACUCUCUUCCUAUAUAUAAGGAAAUAAGUCGGCAGUGAAACACUUCCUAUUGGAUGGUGUAAUGGUGAUUGAUUUACACUUCCUAACCAAGUAAUAUAUAUAGCAGAUAAGGAAGAAUGUCUUUGUGACUCUUCCAACUCCUCCAAUCAUAUUCUUUUCUCUUUGGUGAGUUGGCUAACCUUACUACUUAACAUGGUUUUCACUUUGACAUGUACAAGGACUAUUAAUAAGGUCUAUGAAUUGACAAAACUAACUAAAAAGUUCUAUUAAUACAUAUCCAUAUAUAUAUAUAUAUAUAUAAUAGAAUAAGAUAUUUAUGUAAUACACACACAUAUAAUAAGAUAUAUAUAUAUAUAUAUAGAUUUAACUAUCUAGGUUAUGAAUUAAAUAUGUAACAAAAUUUUUAAUUUUCCCAAAAUAAUAUAUAAUAUAUAUAUUUAAAAAAUAUGUGGGUUUACAAUUUCGUUGUAUCAUAAGAGAUCAACGACACUUAAAAAGACAACUAUAGUGCUUUAGAUUGAAUGAUUUAUUUGAAUUAUGACAAUUCAGAGUUCUUGUUUCACAUGUAUGUGAAACUCCAAACACUCUUUAUUAAUCUUGUUCAAUGAAUUCAAUUUACAUUGACCAUCGCCAUACUAGCCUUAAUGUCUUGCAACCAAAAUCAAAUAAAGAGCGGAAAGACCAUUAAAACAAAUAAAUUAGUUAUUAAAAAAUCAAAAUGCAACUCGUUUACAAAUUCAAGAACCACAUAAAUCUAAAACCCUAUCAUAUAACUAGAAACUUUUAGGAGAUGAGUUUGCGAGUGAUGCAUUAGUAUUCUUCUACAAAUUGUAAUGAUUUUUCUACCCUCUUCUGUUUUGCCAGCUUUCUACAAAUUGGAUUAGUGUUUGUUGUAAUUUCUCAUAUUCUGACAAACAAGAAAAGAAAAUCUUCGAAUCUAACCAAAAGAAAAAGGAGAAAAAGAAAAAGAAAACUUGGGAUCUGUUGUAAAUAAUAAGGUGGAGCCCACCACUUGUUGGAUGGAGCUUUACCUACUCCACCUUGUUGGAAGGGGCUUUGCCUACAAAAGAGUGAGAACCCUUCCAUUGUAAUUGACAGUUUUGAGAACUGAAACAUUCUGAGAUCAGUUUCUCUCUAUCCCAAUUUUCUCUCCAUUUUCUCACUAGAUUUAUAACACGUUAUCAGCACGAGUCUUUAACCGGCUGAGUUCUCUGAUGAAACCCAGUCAGAUAAACUUACACACACAGAGAGAAACAGAGAGGGGAAAAAUGCUAGAUCCGAGAAAUGAUCUGCUACCUCCACCCAUGAAAGCAGCGGUGCUGUAUCACUAUCCUUGUCCAGACGGUGCGUUUGCUGCUUUCGGCCAUGGACUGUUUACUAGAUAUCAGCGAGCCAAAUUCCAGAUCCCGAAUUGAAAAAAAAUAAAAAAUCAACUCAGAUCCAAUCAGAAGCAAAAGGAACACGACAAAUGACCUUGCAUCCCCUAAGCCUGGCCAACUGUCCUGCAUACAUUCCAACAGCCCCAGUUGAAAGCAGAGAAUGGUACUUGGCCUCUUAUGCACCUGAAGUGCUUGGUCUCGAUGCUGAGAUCAGGCUUAGAGUUGAGGCCGACGCCAAGGAUAACGAUGGUGAGGAAGCUGGUGACGUAACAAGGGAGCUCCCAGUCCUCCCAUUUUCGAGUCUGGCCUGGGGACAACGGGGUCCGGUUGAAGAGGUAACCUUUGGGUUGCUCCUCGUGGCCCGGGCAGGUCCAUCGGCUCGGACCUGUGGCUGAACCGUCGCGAGUUCGGACAGUCUGGAUGAGGCGCUGGCGGAGCAUUGUGGAGGCGGGUAUGGAGUCUUGUUACAGUCGACAAGGCUCAGCCGACGUCUGAGCCUCAUGGGAAGUCUUGGAGGCGAGGAGAACGACGCCGCUUCGUUGGCCGAGAAAUCCAUGGCUAUACCCCCCCACCAUCUCUCUCGCCGAGUUGAUGAUCAACACGACGUCGUAGAGUGUGAACUGCGAGUAUGUUUAUGUACGAAUCAACAAUUUGAACGAAUUAGAAGAAAAUGGAAAAUGCAGAGAGAGAGAAAGGUCGCGACCACUCAGCUUUUUCAAUUUUGAAAUUCGAAGCUUUUGGGUUCGUGUUUUGUGUUGUUGUUGGUCACAGAUAAAGAGAACGGAUCUGGACGUGUGAGGUGAAGCUGAUAUAGUGUUUGUCUCUGUAAACACCCCUACCAAAACUACGGGUCUUGGAGCAGGCAAAGCUGCAGAUCUGAUAUAUUGUUAACAAAUCUCACGCGGAGCUCCACAGAGGCACAGCUACUCCAGGUAGUGAUAAGCACAUGAGGUACACAGAUACCAGGUUUGAUGAGCAGCACCACCGAAAAAGAACAGCACAUGCUGUCGGACACGCAUGCUUACAGCCCCACCCACCGAAACAUUAAAAAUAAUAAUAAUAAUAAUAAUAAUAAAUAUAUAUAUUAAAAAAAAAAGAAAGAAAAAAAAGAAAGGGGGAUCACUCAGCAAGGGCAUAAGCGAAAGAAUAAGCGAUAAGAUUUCUGCUCCCUUAUCUUCUCUAUUAUUUCCUAUUAUAUUUAUCUACUUUUCUUUUACUAACCAUUAACAAAAAUGGACCCUUGGUAAUACUAAACAUAUUAUCAGUGGGAGACCGUUACUAAUACUAACUCUUUACUUUAUGAAAUUUACUUUACUGCAAAUUUACUUUACCGCACAUUUAUUUUAUUUACUGUAUGGUGUAGGUUUAUUACCCAUACAACAGUAUUUAUUUAAAAGGGUGGCACGGGUUUAUCGUCCACGCCUUUACUUUUAUUUAAAUGUAUGGUGCGGGUUUAUCGUCCAUACAAGCACGUUUACUUUACGAAUUUAAUUUACCGUACAUUUACAUUUAUUUAAAGGGUGGUGCGGGUUUAUCGUUCACGCCUUUGCUUAUCUGUUUUAUUUAUGGUAUGGUGUAUGUUUAUUACCCAUACGGCAAUAUUUAAAGGGUGGUGCGUGUUUAUCGUCCACGCCUUUGCUUUUAUUUAAAUGUAUGGAGCAGAAUUAGUGCCCAUACAAGCACAUUUAAUUUACCACACAUUUACAUUUAUUUAAAAGGGUGGUGCGGGUUUAUCGUCCACGCCUUUACUUUUAUUUAAAUGUAUGGUGCGGGUUUAUCGUCCAUACCAGUAAUUUAUUUACCAGCAAUUUAUUUUAUGGAUUAAAUGUGCUGUAUGAUGAGUUUUUUUUUUUUACAGUAUACAGAUCAGGACCAGAAGUUCCUUGAUCCUCAUCAUACAAAUUACAUCAGGACUUGAAUGUUUUUACAGUAUACAGAUCAGGACCAGAAGUUCCUUGAUCCUCAUCAUACAAUUACAUCAGGACUUGAAGAUCCUUGAUGAUGAUGUUAAUGUGAGAGCUGGCAGUCUCUCCGGCACUAUAUUUGUAAACAUGUGAUCGGACUUGAGGGUCCUUGAUCCCUGACAUGUAAAUAAGGACCUGGGAUUCCUUAAUGAUGUAACAGUACCGUAUUGGUUCAUAAUGCCGUACACAUGGAUGAUAACUGUACUGGCAAAUGUACUGUAUACAUGAAUAGUGCCGUAUACAUGAAUAGUGAUGUAUGCAUAAAUAUUUACCAUUUUGGGUAAACCAUCACCAUUCAAAAGGGAACCUGCAGUUCCUUAAACUCAUGGAUGAGCAAUUAAAUGAGAUGCCAGAAGUUCCUCAAAAUAUGGACAAUUAUGUAAGGGCUUGAAGUCCAGAAAUAUGUACAGAAAAUUGUAAAAAUGUCCAUACCAUGAGAAUAUGUGAUUUUGGCCCGAAGUUCAAAAUCUAAGGGGAUUGAAUGUCCAUACCAUAAGAAUAUGUGAUUUUGGCCAGAAGUUCAAAAUCUAACAGUGUUGAGAACCUGAAGUUCCAACAAUUAAAUGGACAACCCUUGAGGUAUUAUUGUAAAUUGUGGUACGCCACAUAUCUCUUUGGCAUAAGAGAAUGAUGAAUUGAGGCUCCACACAUAUUUUGUUAUAUCUGGGUUGGAAGCUCAUGAACCCAAAUAUAUGAGAUAUUAGCGUGGCUUUUACUCAAUUCAUAUUUCAUGUCCAUUUUGAAAAGGGCAAAUAAAUUCUGAGUUUGUGUUUAGCCCAGGCCAUAAGUUCCGGGCUCCCAUACGUUGAAAUAUGAAAUUUGGGAGAGUCGAUGUGGUCAUUUGAACCUAUAAGGCACAAGGUUCCAAACCGUCAUUUUGAAAAGACGUAAAAACCACAGGUGCAAAUUUUAAGAAUGUGAGCAAUUAUUAUAACAGGAAAGGAGCAAGUUGAAACGCAGUUGCUCCAAUCAAGUUUUGCAAAGGCCAUAUCUAUAGGAGGAAAUAUGGCUACAGUUUCCAGGAUCCCAGUAUUAUCUCAGAUCCCCAUAUUAUCUUUUUCUUUCCCAGAUUCCAAAACUUCACGUGACCUCCAUUAAAUGUUUGUCGGCACUUUCGGCGUUUUCAAAGUAUUAUUUUCAUCAAAAGCCGAUCUUGCUUUACGGAUUUCACGGAGCUACUUUUUCAAAAGUACCCCGAGAAUCUCGCAAUUUUUCUAUGGUUAAUUUGAAAUUCACCUGUUCUACCUAUUCAUUGUAUUUGUGUAUAAAUGUGUUACUAACGAAAUUUUCUUUGCAGAAGACAUCCAGUUUUCUCCAUACCUAGUGAUGCGAUAUUUACUUGUUUUUCUUAUCAAGAAAAGAGUUGUGAUUUUACUCUUGCAGGAUAUAACUAGAUCAUCAAGCGCUACAUUUACUGGGCCGAUACAAGCUUGAAUGAUACUUGAGAAAAGUUUCUCCCACCUAAGGAUGUAAGCAAUACUUGUGUUAUUUUUUGCUUAUAUACUUAUUUGAUAUUUUAUCUUGAAAGGUAACCAAAUGGGAAGAUAAGUCCGUUCCAAAAGAAUGGCUUGUAUGUAUCCAUGAAUUAUUAAUGCAAAUUUUACAGAUUGCAAGUUGGAUACAUUGAUAAUACACUGCCACAGAUUACAGUCCCAUAAGAACAGAAUAUGGGUAUAGCAGUGAUCAAUAUUAUGCACGCCUGUUGCGUAGCAAAUGAUAUGGAUUGAAGUCCCGAAAGGACAAUCCUUUGACAUAUCAAUAUUGAUAUUAUGCACGCCUAAUGCGUAGCAAAUUAUAUGGGUUAAAGUCCCAUAAUAUGGGUUAAAGUCCCAGAAAUUAAUUGACAUGUAUGUAUUAAUCUGUGGCAUGCCUGCAGCAUGACAGAUAUAUGGGUGCACGCCUGUUGCGUAGCAAAUGAUAUGGAUUGAAGUCCCGAAAGGACAAUCCUUUGACAUGUCAAUAUUGAUAUUAUGCACGCCUAAUGCGUAGCAAAUUAUAUGGGUUAAAGUCCCAGAAAUUAAUUGACAUGUAUGUAUUAAUCUGUGGCAUGCCUGCAGCAUGACAGAUAUAUGGGUUCUAAAUGUUCCAACUCCCUAAAUGUAGAUUUUCCACGCCCUAUGUAAAAUAACGCUCCAAUGGAGGUUAUAAUCCACAUUCUCACAUAAUAAAAGCCCCAUGAAGUGGCUCGGGUACCCAAAAGCAAAAGAAAUGCUUAUAAUUGAUGCAUGCGCAUGCAUAUGAGAAUUGUGAGAUCAUGAAUUGAUGAAUGACAAUUUUUUGGUUUUGGAGUAGCUACUCAAAUCAUCAAUGGGCUGUGUUGAUUGGAACCACGUUCAAUUAUUAAAUGUCGACAAUAUCAUUGGCCAAAAUGGAACGAGGUAAUUCCAUUAUAAAAGAGAAUGAACGUGAAAGAACAAACCCACAAUACGAACCCCAAAAUUUGUUAAUACUGAAAGUUAUAUUUGGGUGUUCGGAAUAAAAGGGAAUAUACCUACUUUGUAUGACACAUUGUUUCUGGCAGAAACAAGGAAUGUUGGGUUUUCUUCAUAUUUACAGAUUCAAUUGUGCCCCCCCCUUAUUACACAAUUGCGGAGACCAACAUAUUAUCUUUAAGGGUUAUUAAAUGCACGGAGCAUAUCGUCAGAAGCGAUUCCCUAAAGAUGUAUAAAUAGCUGGGUUAAAGCUAUAUAAUGUGUCAUAAAGCUUAAUCCCUUUUUAGACAAAAUCCGUUGAGAGGAUUGACAUUGCAUAAAGUAAGUCCCUAAAGGACAUGUGCUUGAAGCACAAAAUUUGUACUCAAUAUUAAUAUGCAUAAAUUACCUCAGCGAGUACAUUGAUUAUAAUGUGAUUGCAACACAUUAAAGAUUCUGCAGAAUUCACGAAAUAUUUGUCUCGACUUAAGGAUCGAACAUUGUGCCAACGAGAUUCUUGCUUAUACUAAGAAAGUAUUGAAGCAUUUUUAUGAGGAUUAUCCGUUGGUCCUUAAAUGUUUUUCCGGAAGUAUACUAGACCAGAUAGAGCUCAGUUCCACACUGUACUCUUUUUCCUUCAUCCAGGUUUUUAUCCCAUUGGGUUUUUCCUGGUAAGGUUUUAACGAGGCAGUGUCGCUCAAGGGUUUAGGGUAUACCAUGAAAAUCUUUAUGAUCGAUUACUGGACAAAAGCUAGUCCUAAAUUUUUCAGGGGGAGAUAUUCAUCAGGGGGAGCGUGGUUCUAAUAAAGACCUCCAUACACUGUACUCUUUUUCCUUCAUCCAGGUUUUUAUCCCACUGGAUUUUUCCUGGUAAGGUUUUAACGAGGCAGUGUCGCUUAAAAUUGACUCACAGAAGCAGUGUCAACUACGAUAUUCAGAAAGGUGAUCAACAGCAUGACUUAAAGAUAUUUUUGCCAAGCAUCAGGGGGAGCGCACCAUCAAUAAUGAUCUUCAAACACCGUACUCUUUUUCCUUCGUCCUGGUUUUUAUCCCACUGGGUUUUUCCUGGCAAGGUUUUAACGAGGCAGUGUCGCACGCGCGUCAAUAUACCUAAAAUUUUAUGUUACACAUGAUUAUGUACUCUUUUUCCCUUUGUCCAGUUUUUGUCCCACUGGGUUUUUACUGGCAAGGUUUUUAACGAGACAUAUUCUGUAUCAUUUGUGGUCUCCAAGGGGGAGUGUUGUAAAUAAUAAGGUGGAGCCCACCACUUGUUGGAUGGAGCUUUACCUACUCCACCACUUGUUGGAUGGAGCUUUACCUACUCCACCUUGUUGGAAGGGGCUCUGCCUACAAAAGAGUGAGAACCCUUCCAUUGUAAUUGACAGUUUUGAGAACUAAAACAUUCUGAGAUCAGUUUCUCUCUAUCCCAAUUUUCUCUCCAUUUUCUCACUAGAUUUAUAACAGGAUCCACAUCGCAGAAGAUCACCACGUGAGAGAGGGGCGAGGUGCCGUAACGCCCUUUACGCUUGGACCAUUUAUGGCACGUGGCAGUGUGUCCAAAACAGAGACCUAAAAUGGUAAUAAAACCAAAACCCAAUAAUCACAUUUGGGGCCCGAAACAAAGACCCGUCUGACAAACGACGUCACUUCACCUUCGUGUCCACCACACAAACCACCGAUACCCAGCUCACCUGAUACUUCCUUCUACCGCCAAUCUCCAACUCCCAACGAACAGUCCGCGCAAAAAAUCGUCUCAAUAACCCGCCACGUAAGAUCAAAGAACCCAAAAUCACACACGUCGAGAGAUCAUUGGACGGAUCGUAAUUAGAAACUGAUCAGGUAAGCAGAGGAACAGAACUCAGAGCGGCAUCUUCUAGUCGUGCACGUACGUAGCGUGGUCUGGAAACUUUUAUCAUUCUGCGAGCACCGCCUUUACCUUGUUCGAUUUCUCACUCUGAAAAUUUAAUUUCCACAGUUCUUGCUCUCGCGGUUUCUGAUAAAAAUCGCGGAAUGAAGUAGCGAUUUUCGACUACUCUUCUCGAAGAUGUUGGAGGAUCAGGUGGCGAACCUCUUGCAGAGGUACCUCGGCAACUACGUGAAGGGGCUCAACAAGGAGGCCCUCAAGAUCAGCGUGUGGCAAGGUUCGAGUAGCUUCUUUGCUGCUUCGUCUUCUUCUUUUUGAUUCUUUCUUCGCUUCUUGUGAAAAGUGUUUUCUUGAUGCUUUUGGUUUUGUGCUUUUGAUUGGUUUGAUUGUGAAUUGAGUUGUUUUCUGUGGAUUGAAUUUGAAAUGGUCCCAAACGGUGCGUUUUGAGUGAUGUUAAAAAGGGUUUUGUUUGGGUUUUAGGAUAGCUUGGUGCCAAUGGCAGGUUUUGAGGGCUUUAGUGAAGAUAACUUGAUUUGGAUGAUUUGAAUAGUGACACUCUACUAGCUACUUGGGUUUGUUUCAAAUUGAAAACCUUAUGCAAGUAGCUAUGCACAUGCUUUAGUCUAACCUUCAUUUGAUCAUGAUGAUCAUUUCUGUGUUUAUGUGAUCAAAUUUAAAUGACUAAAUGGUUUUCUUUUUGGUUAUUAUUUUAGUGAAAAUCUCUGAAGGGGGACAUUAGAAAUGUAGGAUUUAGAUACCUUUAAUGACAAAAAACUUGGCACCAAUGCACACAUGCACAUACAUAUAUACAUGCAGUUUUUAAACUUUUGGCUGCAAUGAAACAAACUUCAAUACCAAACUCAACCAUCAGAACACCCAUUAGUUUUAUCAAACAUAAGUAACCAGCACUUAACAACCAUACUCAGCAAUACAGACUACAGCAUACAGAGCAAUAACAACCAUACUCAGCUAUACAAACACCUAAGUAAUAGAUGCCUUCUGAUCCAACAAAAUGGAUGAAAGCCUUAUGCCCCUAAAAGUAUCUGAAACAGAUGCCCACAAAGAGGACCGAAAAAUCACCCCAUCCCCCAAUACCUACACUCCCGUCCCUCUAAAAGCCUUAAAGAUUCGUUUGUUACUUUCAAUCCAAAUGAACCAUAAAAUAGCCAAAAUCUACAGCUCCAUAGGACCUUGGUCCCUUUCGCUCCACUGAAACCCUUGCUCUCAGCAAGUAUAACACCCCUUUGGAGCAUCCCAAGCCAUCUAUGCUUCUCUGAACAACUUUUACCUUUGCUUUGAAGCAACGGAACAAUGUAUCUGAAUAUGACUGACAUGCUCUCCAUCACUUAUAAAUUGUGGUUUCUUUAGUUUAUUGUACAUUUUAAGUUGUCAUUGGCUUUAUAAAUGCGGUUACUCUAAGGUUAGAGAAAUGCUAUUGUGCAUGUUCAGCAGUAUCAAAUUCUUAUGAUAGAGCCUGAGAAGCUAAUUAUGUACUUAUUACCUAAAAUGCAAAUCAGGUGAUGUUGAGCUAAAAAAUAUGCAGUUGAAGCCAGAGGCACUCAAUGCAUUAAAAUUGCCAGUGAAGGUUAAGGCAGGAUUUCUUGGAUCAGUGAAACUUAAGGUGCGGGGCUAUCAUUGGUUUUUUUAUAAUUGUGUUGAAUUAUUUUUUUUUGAAUGUUGUUCAGCUUUGUAUUGGACGAAAUGCUGUGAAAUUUGACUUCAUUUCCAUUUCUUGGAGUAAUAUUUUUAGUUGUUCCAAAAGUGGUAUUUGAUGUUUAGUUGAUAUAGAUUAUGCAUCUUAACUUUGACAUGAACAUAUAAUAUGAUAAUUGCAGUUUUCACCUAGUAUGUACUUUUUUAUUACUAGACAUUUUCAUUUUCUAAUUUACUGGGUAUAUUUUGUUUGUGUGGAAUAUUGUUAUAAUAUUUGGUUUUGAGAAGUUUUCUUAUGAUAUUUGUUAUUAACUGUAUUUCUCCAAUGAGGUUAUUAUUUUUUUUGAACGAAGGUUCCAUGGAGCAGGCUUGGCCAGGAUCCAGUUUUAGUUUCUUUGGAUCGCAUUUUUCUAUUAGCUGAACCCGAAACCCAAGUUGAAGGAUUUAGUGAGGAUGCUGUGCAGGAAGCUAAGAAGAAUCGAGUGCGGGUAAGACACAUUAAUCUAUGUGGUGGAAUUCAUGUGUUCUUUGCCACUACAUAUUUGAGUGAUCAUAUGUGUUUUUUGCCUUGUAAAUAGGAAAUGGAAAUGAAGCUGUUGGAGAGGACGCAGCAACUAAAGUCAGAAAUGGUAGGGUUUAACAUAAUCCAAGUCUGCUUGUAUUUUAGAACAUGGCUUUACCUUAACUUUAGGCUUCCUUGCUCCAGCAUAUGGGUUUAAAAUCUGAUCUAUGGGUGAUUAUUUUAAUGCUUUAUUUCUUCUUCUGGAAUUCAUAUCUUCUUUAUCUAUUAUGAUAUCAUUUUACUAUUUGUAAUUUGUUUCUCUUUGAAGAAUACAUCAUGGUUGGGAUCCCUGAUCAGCACAAUAAUUGGAAAUUUGAAACUUUCAAUUUCAAAUAUUCACAUCAGAUAUGAGGAUCUUGAGAGGUAGAGAAAAACCUGUUUGAGUGUUUUAUUCUUUUUAGUUAGUCUGUUUUCAGUCAACUAUGUCUUGGGUAGCAAUCCUAAUUAUGUCUUGGGUUUAUGCUUUAUGUCUUCUAUGGUGUAGCAAUCCUGGCCAUCCGUUUGCAGCAGGCAUAACCUUGGAAAGACUUUCAGCUAUGACAGUUGAUGAAAAUGGAAAGGAAACCUUUGUCACUGGGGGUGCUCUAGACCGUAUUCAGAAGGUUCCUUGUUAUCAUACUAUAUGAAAUUCUAAUUUCCACAGCAGUAUUCAGAUAUUUUUUUUGUGCAUGUUUAAGAUGCUGGUGCAUCAGAGGACAAGGUGUCCACUGACCUCCAGCUCCUAACUAACAAAAUCUAUGGACAACAGACCCAACAAAGAAGAUACAACUAAACAACAAAUACAGCGAGAACAAACUCUAAGACACUACAGCUAUCCAAUAAAAAAAACAACAGGAAAAGAGUUGUCCCUAUACUCUACAGAUACUGUAGCCCAGAAAGAUGCCAAAAAUUGAACCCUCCAACAAAUAUCAAGUAUCCUUAGAUAUCUCUCCACCAAACUACCAAAAAUAUAAAAUAUAAAUGUAUAGACUAAGAAGUUCAAUAAUGGAUACUUCCAGGUUGAUGUUAUGGGAAGUCACCGUUUGAUUAUUGCAUGUCAUUUGAUUUUUUAAAAUUGACUUCAUAUAUCCCUGAGAUUCUUUCAAAUACUGAUUAAAGGCGUCUAUUUAAGAAAAAAAUUUAGAACAACUAAGCAUUUCUUGUACGUGUGAAUAACUUGGCUUCAUCGAUAUAUUGAUCCCUUCUUUCUGCUUAUGCUAUAUUCUGUCAUUUUCAGUCCGUUCAACUUGAUCGGCUUGCACUUUAUCUGGAUUCUGAUAUUUCUCCAUGGCAUGUUAACAAGCCAUGGGAGGAUUUGCUUCCAUCAGAGUGGGUCCAGGUAUAUGCCCAAUCCUCUUUUAGAAAUAGAGGCUCUGUACCUGCAUGCACAUACAUGCGUAUAUUUAUAUAUUACCUUUUUGGCACUUCAGGUUUUUAGAUUUGGCACUAAAUAUGGUAAACCAGCAGAUGGAUUAAUAAAAAAGCACACUUACAUACUGGAACCUGUGUCUGGAAAUGCCAAGUACUCAAAACUACAGCCAAAUGAAUUUGCUGACAGUGGCCAGCCUUUACACAAAGCAGCAGUUAAUUUGGAUGAUGUGACUCUCUGUUUGCCAAAGGUUCAUUUUCAUUUUCAUUUUCUAUUCCUUCUGAUUUAGUGCUGGGAGGUAACGUGAUUUGUUUUAAAAGCAAUUGAGUACUAUUUGUUUGCAGGAUGGAUACAGGGAUGCACUAAAGUUAGCUGAUAAUUUUGCAGCAUUUAAUCAGCGCUUGAAGUAUGCUCAUUAUCGUCCGCAUGUCUCUGUGAAAUCUGAUCCUAGGUCCUGGUGGAAGUAUGCUUAUAGAGUCGUUUCUGACCAAAUGAAGAAGGCAAGGUCAGGAUCAAUGAAUUUCUUUUAAUUCUCCUACCUUAUGAAUUGUUGUGUUUCUGAUGGACUUCGUGGCCAUAUUGUUUGGGAUUUUCUUAUCUAUAUAUUGUUUUUUCCUGUAAAAAAAGAGGAAAAUUCUCCUCCCCGAUGAGAUUUUAUGUUGUGAGCUUUAAUCCCAAAAUAGUGAAAUACUUUUUUUAACAGUAAAGAAAAGGACUUCCUCUCUUAAUCAGUUAACUUAGUUUAGUUUUAUUAAUAUUAUACAUUUUAAUUUAUGCAAAUUUUGUUAACAAAUGAAAAAGCAGUGAACUUCGUUAUAUGCUCUGCAAACUGAAUUUAGAUACAUAUUUUUUUUAUAUUUGCUUAAAGCAUUAUCUUUGUGGCAGUGGGAGAUUGUCAUGGGAUCAAGUUCUGAAGUACGCAAGCUUACGUAAAAGAUAUAUCUCGCUAUAUGCUUCACUGCUUAAAUCUGAUCCUAGUCGGGCAGUAGUUGAUGACAACCAAGACAUCGAGGAGCUAGAUCGUGGACUUGAUAUUGAACUCAUACUACAGUGGAGGUACUCUUUUUUGUUGUAAAUGUAUUUAGUUUCUGAUAGUUAUUAAUUGUAUGAAGGGUUAUUCGUUUUAUAUUAGUCCUUGAACUUUGACUCGAUUUGCAUUUUUUUUUUUUUUGAAUAGAAACAUUGUAUUGAUAAACAAGAGGAAAAAUCCUCAAUCAAACAAGAAGACCAGAAAUAAAGAUUGUCUGACCUACUAAGAUUGAAAAAAUUCUGUAAUUAAAAAACACAAAAAACACAAAACUUCAGUAAAAUCAUCUUAAGACUGCCAUCAUGUCUCUCAUGAUGGUAGAGUAGUGAUAGUCCUUGAACUGCCCCAAAACCGAAGCCCAAAGGGAUGCCCAAAAUUUAAUUCUGUCCCAUAAUUUCUGAAGAUCUUCCUCUGCCAUUCUUCAAAGGAUUCUAAAAGCCCUUUCUUUUUCUACUGGCUCUUAGUCUAUUCUCUGCAAAAGACGCGUUGGCUUGUCAAUGACAGUGCUGUGUGCGUAGGAUAAGCAGAGGACGACAACAGUGCAUAGGAAAGUUGGGUUUUGGGAUGAUUUCUGGGUGGAGGGGUGGGGCGGUGGGGUGGGUUUUGGGGUUGGAGUGUGGUGGCUGUCGGAUGGGUUUGGUGGUUGGAGGGGGGUGGUCAUGGGAGAAAGGGGGAGAAGAAAUCGGUGUGAGAGAGAGAGAGAGAGAGAGAGAGAGAGAGAGAGAGAGAGAGAGAGAGAGAGAGAGAGAGAUUUGAAUUUAUUUUCUUAUUUUUAAUAUUUUAUUCAUAUUUUAAUCAAUUUAAAAUUUAAAAAAUAUAAAAAUACCAUUUUACCCCUGCAUUUAACAGAAAAGUUAACAAAUUUGACGGCAGGAUGAUUUGUCCUCACAAAACUGAAGUUGAAGGACCACGGGAACGAUUUUGGAAAUUGAGGGACUCAAAUGCAAAUCGGAUCUAAGUUAAGGGACUAAUAAAACGAAUAACCCCAUUGUAUGAAAUUGGCCAUUCUCUCUACCUGUUGAAACUGGUGUGUUUCUAUGCAUUUUUAGCUGCAUAGUACAUUUAUUUUGUAGAUAGACCAUUCCUUCAAAUGAUUUUUGCCUUGAAGUAUUUUGUAGUAUUGUGGUCUCAUUCAUGCAGGAUGUUGGCUCACAAGUUUGUAGAGCAGUCAUCAGAGUCAGACCUUGACUUGAGGAAACAGAAAGCAAAGAAAUCUUGGUGGUCAAUAGGAUGGUAAUAGUUUUACCGUCAAAUUUGAAACUAGGUCUCUCGACACCCUAGGUAUUUGUAUAUCCUGAUGUUUGCUUGUUUCCUAAUUCUAUCUACUGUUCCAGGGGCAGUCAGUCUCAGAUAGAUGAGAGUGAGCCAUUUAGUUUCAGCGAGGAAGACUGGAAGCAGUUAAAUAACAUCAUUGGGUAUAAGGAAAGUGAUGAUAGGCUGUCGGUUGUAAUUAAUGACAAGGCGGAUGCUCUUCAGACUUCCUUGAGCAUUUGUAUGAAACAUAAUGCUACUAAGCUUAUUGAUGAGUCCCAGGAGUGUCUUGCUGAAUUAUCAUGUGAGGGCCUGGAUUGCUUUAUAAAGCUUUAUCCAGAGACAAAAGUUUUCAACAUAAAAUUGGGAUCAUAUAAGUUAUCAACACCGAAUGGUCUCCUUGCUGAGGUAGGCCUUUCUCCUGCUGUGUGUUGUAUUUUUUAAAACGUUUUCUCUUCAAUAUUUAUGGAUUAAUUUCCCUAUUUCAUCCAUAAAUCAUCUAUUUACUUCCCUGCAGAGUGCAAGUGCGCAUGAUUCUUUAGUUGGCACAUUCUGUUUUAAGCCUUUUGACGCAAAUGUGGACUGGAGCUUGGUUGCUAAAGCUUCUCCUUGUUAUGUGACUGUAUGUUUUUGCUACGCCAAAGUUAUUACUUCCUCCAAGGUGUAUUUGUUUACUGAUUUGAUCUCUCUGGCAGUAUCUAAAGGACGUAAUCGGUCAAAUUAUAAAAUUCUUCCGAAGUAAUACAGCUGUUAGUCAGACGAUAGCAUUGGAAACCGCAGCUGCAGUGCAGGUUCUUUGAAAUAUGCUUAAAUAGUUCUUUCGACUGCUUUCCAAGCUUGCUGGUGUUGAACAUGUUAACCAAGAUGUUUCAAUCAUUUUGUCUGUGAAACAUCAUUUUGUCUGUUUGUGUUUUUCUUCAAAUUUUAAAUAUUGUUGCUUGGACUUCUGAAAUUAAUUGGAAACUUCAAUUAUUUGAUUGGUAUGUAAGUCAUAGGGGCAAUAUUGGGAGAUUUUUUUUGGAGCAAAAAGUAGAAAAAUUUAGGAACAAAGAUUAAAUAUUCAAAGAAACAUGCAUCCAUUGGAUAUGUUCUUUAUGGAGUUUAUAUGCUAAGGCACAACAUUGAGUUACUUGUGACUUUCCUUCUGUGGCUAUGUCAUGAUGCAAGAUCAGGAAAAUGUAGAGAAUAUUGUCAGGAUGCUAAAUGAAGUACAUCAGCUUGCGUGCUGAUUUUUCUAAAGAUGCCCAAGAUGGAAUAAUUUAGGAAGAAUUCAGUGAAAGAUGAUGAUUAUAUUGUUUUACAACUCUCUUCGCAGCAUAUGCAUGAUUUUACCAUGGCCUGAUUAGAGCUGUGGGUGCUUGUUAUUCUGUCGCAGCAAGUAUGGUGAUCAAAUUUUCUGUUAAUGAUGGUAUACAAACUGUCUUUUUCAAUAUAUACCAGAUGACAAUCAAUGGAGUCAAGCGCACAGCUCAGCAACAAGUGAACAGAGCAUUGAAAGACCAUUCCAGGUUCUUAUUUCAUUUCUUUCUGGAGUACCUUGAGCCCCUUCCCUAAAAUUAUAUUGAUCCCGUGAAUGAGAGGAAAAAUUGACCAUAACAUGCUAAUGGUAGAAUUACAAAAGGGUGAGGGAAGUGCUGAUUAUAUACGGACAAAUACAAUAGCGGGAUCCCUUUUUAAGUGGACAUACAUAUAUUUGUAUAUAUAUAAACAUAAUAUAUGUUUCACAUUGUUAUGUCCCAUGGGCCAGGUUGUUUGGAGUGCCGUGGGUUUGGUUGGCCUCAAAAUUGCUAUUUCUUUUGGGUGGACAAUUAUUUCUGUAUCUUUUCUUAAUAAAAGUUUGUGAUGCUUAGCUUCUUUGUAUUUAUUCUAUUAAUGUUUUGUUAUCAUUUGUUAGGUUUUUGCUGGACUUGGAUAUUGCGGCUCCGAAGAUUACAAUUCCUACUGAUUUUUGUCCCGACAACACACAUCCAACAAAACUCAUGCUUGACUUGGGAAAUUUGGUUAUUGGAACCAAGGUUAACAACAAUAUUAAUUCUUAAUUAUCUAAUUAUGAGUUUGUUUCCUACAGACAUUUAUGUUGAGCUUGAAAGUGCAUGCAGGAUGACUAUGGAGGUGGAUCCCCGGAGGAGCUGGAUCUGUAUCUGCAGUUUAAUUUGGUUUUAAAAGAUGUAUCUGCUUUUCUGGUUGAUGGUGACUACUGUUGGAGCCAAUCUCCUUCAAACAAUUCUGCUGGUUGUGCCAAAUUAAAUGGUGUUAGUUUGUUGCCUUUAUUCGAUAAAUGUGGGGUAACUGUAAAGCUUCAACAGGUAAAAUACUGUGACCUGUUUAGCUUAAAUACGAAGCUUAUUUUCACGUGGCAUUUGUGAAGAUUAAGGUUUUGGAUUUUAUUUUGUUAUUACAUCCAGAUUCGAUUAGAGAGCCCAUCCUACCCUUCAACAAGAGUCGCUGUACGGCUACCAUCAUUAGGGUUUCACUUCUCUCCAGCUCGGUAUCAUCGAUUGAUGCAAAUUGCUAAGAUUUUUGAAGAGGAUGGUGAGAACUUGGAUCUCCUUUGCGCUUGGAAUGAGCCUGACUUUGAGGGGUGGUUGUCUCUUCUUGCUUGGAAGGUUGCAAUCUAUCUCUCUCUCCCCACCCUCUUGUCUCCCAUUUGCCCCUAAACAAAAAAACACAUCCCAAAAGUAGUUCAUGUCUUUAUUAUAGUGCUAUGUUUGAGCACCCAUUCCUAUAAACAGAAUUUAUUCAUUUCUUUAUUUUAAUGUGAUGAUAGGGUCUCGGGAAUAGGGAAGCGGUGUGGCAGCGGCGCUACCUAUGCUUAGUUGGGCCUUACCUUUAUGUACUUGAGAACCCUAGCUCUAAAUCGUACAAACAGUGUAUCAGGUUCGGAUGCCAACUUUUCCAAAUUGAGUUGUGAUCGACAUGAUAGUAUCUACUUAAUAUGUAGAUAUAUAUAUAUAUAUAUCCAAAAAGUAUGAUUCAGAAAAAAAACAAUGAUGGAGAUAUUUGCCAUUGUUGCAAAAGUUUUAAUUGAAAUCUUGUGGAAUGAUUUAUUUGUCUAUUUGUUAAAAAAAUGCAUAUAUUCUUUGGUUUUUCUUCCAUUCCUCGAGUUGAAUUGAUUAAGUAGCCUUUUAUACAGACUACUUGUGUUACGCAAGUACCACUGACUUGGUUCAUUUCACUGAACCACAUCCACACCUUUGUUUAUUCCAAUAACUCCAUCUGUUUCUAGAUAUGAAUUCACUGCUAUUUAUAAUGUUCUAGAAAAUUCUAAAAUAGUCUCUCAACAUUUUCUAACUACUAAAAAUUAUAUAUGCAACACUUCAUAUAACAUAACAAGUAUAUAUUAAGUGGAAUGUUGUAUACUAGAAUUUGUAUUAACUCUAACUAAUGCUUGCAAUAUGCUUGUGGCAGCUUAAGUGGAAAACACAUAUAUCAAGUUCCCCCAGAGUCUGUUGGUGGUGCUGAUCUUGUGUUGGUUGUCUGUGAUGCUGCACGAGCAAAUAGCAAGGUUGUAACUCCAUCUUUAUAGUUAGAAAGAACGCCCCUGUAUAAUGGUUUGUUGAGUAUUACUUAGUUUUAGUUAUUUCUUUUAUAUAGGUUGUGGAGGAUGCAAAUGCACUAAUAGUGCAAUGUGAUUCUGAUGAUUCGAAGAAAAUUUGGCAAAGCCGGUUGAAGGGGGCUGUCUAUCGUGCAUCGGUAAUCCUUGUUUAGUUUGUGGUAGACAUAUCCCGGCUUCGAUAUGACAGCACUUUUAACUUUUAAGGACAUGCAUAGGCCUCUUAAGUAGUUUUAUAUGCAGGGUACUGCUCCUGUAACUAGUCUAUCUGAAACUUCAUCCGAGUCCGAGGAUUCUAUAGUGGAGCUUAAUGAUAAAGAUGAUGUGGUUGAUUUAUCGAAAAUGGAGAGAGCAUUUAUUACUGGUGUUCUUGAUGAACUAAAGGUCUGCUUCAGUUAUAGUUACCAGGUAAGCCUAAACUAUGUACUUGAUAAAAAUUUGCCUUGUAAGGGAAGAUCUGACAGAGCUGUUUUUCUCUAAUCUCUAGCACGACCAGAAUUUUAUGAAAGUGCUCCUAACUGAAGAAAGGCGAUUAUUUGAAUUUCGAGCAAUAGGUGGCCAGGUGAUACAUUAAUCGAAAUAGGCAUUGGUGUGUUUUGAUGUUUGUAAAUGUUUUUGUUUUUGCGACUCCAGAGAGUUAUGUUUUUGGACACAGGUUGAGGUAUCGGUUAGAUCAAGUGAUAUGUUCGUUGGAACUGUUUUAAAAUCUUUGGAGAUUGAAGACUUAGUUUCUGGCAAUAGCAUGUCUCAGCCUCGCUAUCUGGCAACAUCGUUCAUCCGUAAUGCAGAAACACGUUUAACCUUUGGUGCCACAGAGAAUCAGACUUUUGAUGGCAGUGAACUAACCCCGACUGAAGGAGAUGAAUUCUACGAGGCACCAGAAAAUUUGGUUGACCCUGAAAGUUUAUUGUUGAAAUCCCCUCGUUUUACUCGUUUUCCUGGUCUACUCCCGGUUAAUGGACUUGAAGAAAGUGAGGAGAACAUUGAACUCAAUGGUUCAUUGGAUAGUUUUGUGAAAGCUCAAAUAGUUAGAUAUGACCAAAGCUCUCCUCUAUACCAUAAUAUAGACAUGCAGGUGAGUAUUAUUCUGUGUUAAAUUUGGGGCUUGAUCCGUUAUGUUGUUGCUUGACUUGUUAUUAUUUAAAUGGUUGUUUUAGGUCUCAGUCACCCUGACUACCCUAUCAUUUUUCUGUCGGCGACCAACAAUUCUUGCCAUCAUGGAAUUUGUUAAUUCUAUUAACAUUAAGGAUGAAAGCUGUGAAUCUUUCAGUGACAGUUCUUCAGCAGCUAUUGUGAAACAGGAACUCUCUAGAGAUGAUGCAGUUGGUAGUCCACGACCAGUGACAAUCAAUGAGCCUUCAAUUAAAGGAUUGCUGGGAAAGGGAAAGUCCAGAGUGGUUUUUAAUAUAACAUUAAAUAUGGCUCGCGCUCAGAUUAUAUUAAUGAAUGAAGAUGAAACCAAACUUGCUACUUUGUCACAAGAUAAUUUGGUUACCGAUAUUAAGGUUUUCUCAACUUUGUCCAUCCUCAUUCAUCCUCUAGAAUUUCUGUUUUUAUUAAACCCACCUGUUUCAGGUUUAUAAACCCUAUUGUUUUUCAGGUGUUCCCAUCCUCUUUUAGCAUUAAGGCAGCCCUUGGAAAUCUUAAAAUUAGUGAUGAGAGUCUUCCUAGCAGCCAUAUGUACUUCUGGGCAUGUGAUAUGAGAAAUCCAGGCGGCAGUUCAUUUGUUGAGGUAACACUAUGUUCCUACCAAUAAGAAUAACGUAUGAUCAUUUAACAAAAAGACUGAUCACACAAGAACAACUAAUUAAGAUUCUGUCUUGAGCUUAUGUUCCUAAAGUUCUGAUGAUGGAAAUUUAAGUUCGUUCAUGAACUUUUCUUUCUUUUUAUCACUCCAGAGGCUUUGUUUUUUGUUGAAGAUUUUAAGACAUGUUCCUCAGUAACUUGUGUGCUUUCUUUGAUGGUUAUUGAAUAGGUCAAGGGACCAAAUAAUUUUUAAUUCUCUAUGUAUGCCAAGGGACAUAGUGAGGUUUUGGGAGGAAUUGGCUGGGUUGUCUGGGUUGUGUUGGUCGAUGGUGCAUGAGUGGGGAUUUUCAUAUGGUGAGAUUUGUCAUAGAGAAAUGUAAUGCAGGAAGGGUGACAAGGAGCACGUGUUAUGAUUUCUUAAGGGAAACAAACUUGUGUAAUUCCGAGUUACACAAUGCAGUCUUCACUCUUCACUAGGUCCAAUAUGAGAGAAAAUGUGCUUCCAAAAGAUUUGACAGAUUUUUGCAUACUGCAGAGUGGGAAGAGGGAUUUCCUAAUGUGAGAGAGAUGGCCCUUAGUGGGGUUGUUUCUGAUCGUUGUCCUAUAUUGUUUGAUUCUAAUCACAUGUGGUUGGAACUGCUUCAAGAAGUGGUGGGAAAGUAGGGAGUUUAAAUGGUUGUUAGGGUUAAGUUUUAGGUGAUGUAAGAAAGGAAAAGAGGGAAGUGCAGGAAAAAUAAUUAAAGAGCUCCAUUUGUUGGAGUAAGGGGACAUAUUGCUGGAAGAGUGCCGAAGGGAGAGGGCAAGCUAAGACUAAAAUUGUGGGAGGCUUGUUUUCAAGGAGAUUUGUGGAGGCGAAAAAGUGGCUUGGGCAAAUGAGGGUGAUGGCAGUACAAACAUGUUGAUAAAAUGGUAAAUAGGAGGAAAAAAAGAAAUUUGAUCAAAAUCUUGGAAUUGAGUGAUGGGCCAUUCACUGAUGACAAGGGGAGGAUUGAGGAAGAAGUAAUUAAUUUUUGUAAGAGAUUUCUGUAGGAAGGAAGGUGGGGAAAAGGAAAGGGCGAUGGUGGUAGGAAAUGUUAACAACUUUAUUUGACUCCUUCGUAUUCCACACUGUUGCAUCAUGUAGGCAAGCUAACAUUUAUAUUACUGUUUAUGGCUUUGAUAGAUAAAUUUGGAUAGACAUUUGGUGAAUAAAUUUAGAGUAAAUGUAUAAAGAGACUAUAGGGUUCCACAUUAUUGCGACAGUUAAUCUACUUUCUUCUGUUCUGCAGUUGUUUUUUUCCCUUUUUCGUUCUACUGUUUUACUAUUCUCCUAUUUCGUUUGCUUUUAUUGGUAUUAGGGAUAGUUUUACAAAUAACAGUCAUUAUGAUGCAGUUGGUUUUUACUUCAUUCAGCGUUGAUGAUGAAGACUACGAAGGCUAUGAGUAUAGCCUUUAUGGGCAGCUUUCAGAAGUAUGCAUUGUUUAUUUGAAUCGAUUUAUCCAGGAGGUAAUAUACAUUUAAUUCUUUUGUUCAUUAUGCACUCUGGUUCGUUUCCACUUCUCUUAUGUCUGUAAAAUCAUUUGUAGGUGGCUAGUUACUUCAUGGGUCUUGUUCCCAACAAUUCAAAAGGUGUCGUCAAGCUAAAAGAUCAAGUAACAGAUUCGGAAAAGAUGUUUACAACUAGUGACUUCGAAGGAUCACCUGCCCUAAAGUUGGAUGUCUCUCUUAGGAAGCCUAUUAUUUUGAUGCCUCGGAGAACUGACAGUCUUGAGUAAGUUUAUAUUGGAAUCUAGGCUCUUAUGGAUUUUAGUUUUAGACUAUUGGCAUCUUUGUCUGUGGUUGCACUCGUAUAAUUCAACUCUCAAUUUGAUAAACCUAAUAGGCAUUCUCUAAUUAUUUGAAUUUUUCUAUUUCAGCUACUUGAAGCUUGAUAUUGUUCAUAUUACUGUCCGGAACACUUUUAAAUGGUUUGGUGGAAGUAGAAGUGACAUUAAUGCUGUUCAUAUGGAAGUAUUAACAGUUCAGGUGAUUGAAUACAUUUAAUUAUUUUUUCUUUUACCAACAAAAACCCAUGCUGAAAUUUUUAUUUAGUUGGAAUGGGAUACGGUGGUUCCAAUACAAAUGGAUUUUGAAAGGCUUUGUCAUGUGGAGUGCUUGGCAGCGGAAUUAAUAUUUAUUUUUUGGUUUGGUUUGCAUCUAUUAAUUUGUAAUUAACUGUCUCUGCAUGUCGAUUAAUACUAUGAUGGGGGCUGUAGGUUGAGGACAUCAAUCUAAAUGUUGGCACUAAAGGUGAGUUAGGUGAAAGCAUAAUUCAAGAUGUGAAUGGAGUUUCAGUUGUGAUUCAAAGGUCACUUCGAGACUUGUUGCAUCAAAUACCAAGUAUUGAGGUUAUAAUCAAGGUAAUGGAUUACAUGUUCAUUGACCGUUUUGUGAAGCUAACUUUGUUUUUAAUUUUAAAUUUGGGAAAACUGCAAACAUAAGUGAAGUCACAAUUUAAAUGUUUUUAGAAUUCGUGCUUUUCAGAUGGAGAAAUUGAAAGCAGCUUUGUCAAACAGGGAAUAUCAGAUUAUCACGGAUUGUGCACAGUCUAAUAUUUCUGAAACUCCACGUAUUGUACCCCCAUUGAACCAUUAUUCUAUGACAUCUUCAGUUGAUGUUGAAGAAGACAUCACUCCUCAGGAACCAGAUGGUAUUGAAUCCCAAAGUGCAAGUGGGGGAGCCUGGGUUAUGAUGAAAGUCUCUGUUGUUAUUGAUUUGGUUGAAUUGUGCUUACAUGCUGGUGUAGCAAGAGAUGCAUCUCUGGCCACUGUGCAGGUAGUUUCUCAAUUUGGUGGAUUUCUUAACUGUUGGGAAUUUAUUACAGUAUUUGUAUAUUCUCUCUUUAGAAGAUUGAACUCAUUGAGGUGGCAUUGGUUUUAUGCAUCACAAGAGUUUUUCUUGCUUGACUAAAUUUGUAUUUUGUUUUGCUAUGCUUUCUAUCUUCUGAACCCCGUGUUUGCUUUUUAUUUAUUUAUUUAAUAAAUAAAUAAUUUGUUUGCCUUUUUCGUUUGGGAAUGCUAUAUAUUUUGGUCCUAUAUGUCACGUAAAUAUCAUUUAGUGAUCCUAAAAUCAUUUUCAAAUCCUUGCAUCAAUAUUUAUGUAUUCUCCGUUCAAAUUGUCUGGUAUUGUGUCUAAUUUACGAUUUACACCGUACUUGAACAUCAUUGCAAAACUGGAUUUCAUUUUCUUUUCGCAAAAGUGAUAAUUUUAUUAAUAAAGAAGAAAAGUACAGUCAAAUCGGACCAGCAGUCUAGAAGAGAUACUACCGUCAGUCAACUAAAAAGGGACACAAAAACAUGUGUAAAUAAUCAACUGUUGGCAGGGUUAAACUCUGUUGAUUUCUGCAUAAUGCAUUGUAAUAAGGGAGUGGGAGUGGCAGAAUUAUGGGAUAGAGUGAAGUUUUGGGCUGCCCUUUGGGCAUCAACUUCCCCAGCGUUUAAGGAUGUACCCUAUCCUAUAAUUAUGCGCAUUCUGCUGGCUGUAGUAUCUUAAGGGUUUGUUUUAUGGUUGGUUGGUUAGUUAUGUGUUGAGUGGCCUUGUGUCUGUUUCACCGGUUAGUGUUUUUUCCUGCGUGCUAAAUGGCCUUGUUUUGAUCCUAAAUAUUUGAAUAAAAAUGUUUCUAUUCAAAAAAAAAAAAUAACUGUAUUAUUUUAAGAAGAUAUUUUGUCAAAAUUUGUAUCAGGUGCGUUUAUGCGUGUAGGAUGUGUUAGAACAUUUAAUAGGGUGGAUGCUCACGUUUUGAGAAAAGAGUACAUAUUAUUAUAUACAUAUAAUUGUUCUUGGUUUAUUAUGCUACCACUCUGUUGUACAGAUUAGCGGUGCAUGGUUGCUGUACAAGUCAAAUACACUAGGAGAAGGCUUCCUCUCAGCAACGCUAAAGGGUUUCACUGUGUUUGAUGAUCGUGAGGGUACGGAACCAGAGUUUAGGUUGGCAAUAGGAAAGCCUGAGUAUGUUGGUUCAUAUCCUCUAGAUUUUGUUGCUCAUGAUGACCAUCACAUCUCCGGUGCAAAUGUUACAAAAGAGAAUGAUGUCAAAUUAGUUCCUACAAUGCUCAUUCUUGAUGCAAAAUUUUGUCAGCAGUCAACAGUUGUUUCUUUGUGCAUCCAAAGGCCACAACUGCUUGUUGCACUUGAUUUUCUGCUGGGUGUUGUUGAGUUUUUCGUUCCUACCAUCGGCAAUGUGCAGUCAAAUGAAGAACUACAGAACUCUGUCCAUGGAAUUGAUGCAGUAAUUUUGGACCAAUCAACUUACAAGCAACCCUCUACUGAAUUCUCUCUUUCUCCUCUAAGACCUUUAAUAGUUGACGAUGAAAGGCAUGAUCAUUUUGUUUAUGAUGGCAAUGCUGGGACACUGUAUUUGAAAGAUAGGCAGGGAUUUAAUCUCUCAGGGCCUAGUACAGAGGCUAUAAUAUAUGUAGGAGAUGGGAAAAGAUUGCAAUUCAAAAAUGUUGUUAUCAUGGUAUUAUUCUUUACGAUGUCUUUUUUUCUAGUUUACUGGCAUACUUGUGCUUCAAAAGCACUUCUAUCAUAUUUAAACUUCUAAUGUAAGUUGUGUUGGUGUAGAAUGGACUGUACUUAGAUUCAUGCAUUUCUAUGGGAACCAACAGUAGCUAUUCAGCUUUGAAGGAAGAUCAGGUCUACUUCGUGGGAGGGAAUGAAGUUCCUAAUUUGAAUUCCCCAACAGAAAGUGUCAAUAAUGUGCCAUCUCAAAGUAUUGCCGUCGACAGGUCGACAGAGUUUAUUAUUGAGUUGCAGGUUCAAUAUUGCUUCAUUUGAUUUCUUUUUCCUAAUUUGGGGUCAUACUCAUUCUUUGGAUCUGCAACUGUCUUUCGUAACUAAAUAUUUCAUUGCAGUUGGUUGGCCCAGAGCUGACAUUCUAUAAUACGUCUGAAGAUGUUGGGGAAUCCCUUGUGCUCUCCAACCAACUUUUACAUGCACAGUUGGAUGGAUUCUGCAGGUAAAUAAUUUUAUUGUUUUGUUGAUUUUAAUGUCACUCAUAGUAUAGGAUCUUCUUUCAUUUCUCGAAAGGGUCUCCAAGGACUCCCUUUUUCUUUUCCUAUCGGAUUUUGUCUCUUAUUUAGGGGUUCUUCCAUUGCAUUUUGGAUUGACUAAAUGACACGCAAUAUUGAGUUCCAAGUCCUUUUUAAACCAAAAUGAUUAGGACACAUUCAUACUCCCUCUGUUUCAAUGUCCAUGGUAUUUGUCAUACCCAAAAGUCUUAAUUUGGUUUCUUGAUUCCUACCAAUAUCUGCGAUAUAUCUAUAUUUCCAUUGAAAUUUCCCAUUAUUUUUUUUUUUAUUAUUGUGGAUUCUUACCAGACAUAAAUGGAUUUGAUAAGGCUUUAGUUGAGAGCAAUAUCGCUGGAUAGUGCUCUUUGGUUCCUUAUACAUUGCUUCCAUAGGUUUCCAGGAGUUCAAGUGAGAAAAAUCAUAUUUAUUGCCUAGGCCAUGUUCGCUUUAGAUUCCAUGUUAUUAAUGCUUGAACUUAAAGAAAUGUAAUGGAAAAGUGACAUUCUAUGUGCUCUUGUUGCCUCCAGGCUUGUUUUGAAGGGUGAUACCAUUGAGAUGAAUGCAAAUGUUCUUGGUUUAACAAUGGAGAGUAAUGGAUUCACGAUUCUGGAGCCUUUUGACACCUCUGUAAAAUAUUCCAAUGCUUCUGGAAAGACCAAUAUUCAUCUAAGUGCUUCAGAUGUAUUUAUGAAUUUCUCAUUCAGCAUCCUGAGACUGUUUUUAGCAGUUGAAGAUGAUAUCUUGGCAUUUUUAAGGACAACAUCAAAGAAAAUGACAGUGGUCUGCUCACAGUUCGACAAAAUUGGAACAAUAAGAAGUAGGCUGAUUUUUUUUUUUCUUUUCUAUAUUGUUGCUAGAAUGUUUUAACAUGCCUAUUGUUAGAUGCUGAUACGUGUUCCCUGCUUCUUGAACUUUCAGAUUCCCACAAUGACCAAACAUAUGCCUUCUGGAGGCCUCAUGCACCUCCUGGUUUUGCUGUUCUUGGGGAUUAUCUGACACCAUUGUUAGUGGACAUUCUUUAAUUGUACCUCAUGGUUCUCUUAAUAUUGAUGGUUUUAAUGUCAUAUCUUAGUUGUACCUCGUGGUUCUUAAAUAUUCACUUUUAUGAAAAAAUAUGAAGGCUUUUCAUUUCUUAAAGUUUUGAACACUGAUAAUAUAAUUUUCUUAUGACAGGGACAAGCCACCUACAAAAGCAGUUCUUGCUAUAAAUACCAAUUUUUCUAGAGUCAAGAAACCCAUAUCUUUUAAAUUGAUUUGGCCACCUUUACCUUCCGAGGGCUCAUCUGUUCAUGGUGUAAAUGAUUCCGAUUCUUUACCAAAUGACAUCAUUUCUGACGGAGAUAGUUGUUCCAUUUGGUUUCCUGAAGCGCCUAAUGGAUAUGUUGCAUUGGGCUGUGUGGUUUCCCCAGGAAGAACACAACCACCACUGUCAGCUGCUUUUUGUAUCUUGGCUUCUUUGGUUUCUUCUUGUUCCUUAGGGGAUUGCAUUGCAGUCAGCACCACAAAUCUGUAUGUUGUACUUUCAGACUAUGUUACUUUUAAUAAGUUCAGAUUACACCAGGGGUGCCAAUGGUUCAUACUAAGGUUCAACACAGUUCCAAAUUAGGCAGGACUUAAUACAGUUUCGAUGGUUUAAAAUUUAAUAAAUCUGAUCCACCAAAAGUUUGAAUCAUAUUAUAGUAUAUUUGAAUUGCAGUUUUUACCUUAAAAAAAUAAUCGUCAAGUCAGAGAUAAUAUUGUGCAAGUUAUCAGUCUUUUCCAGAACGUAAUGGAAACAUAGAAUAUAUAUUUGAUUUCUUCUUGGCUCCAAACUUCAACAUAUUGUAAGAACUAUUUCAGAUUUGGGGGUAUCCAUAUAUUCUUCAAUAUAAUUGGACUUGUACAUAUAUCCUGAUAGAUCCAACUAGAAUGACCCAUUGAUAGCCUUAUGUUAGGGCAUCUUCUUUUCUGGUUCUUGGAAAACUAUAACGUGAGGAAUAGUUUUAUGAUUAAUCUUCUUUUCUGGUUCUUGGGAAACUAUAACGCGAGGAAUAGUUUUAUGAUUAAAUAAUUCCUAUCCCGUCUGUCUGAACGCUAUUUGUUUUGAUAAGAAAUGGUUAGGACUUUUGAUUUGUCAUUCCAUUUUAAAUUGCAGAUAUCCGUCAAGUGUAGCAUUCUGGCGUGUGGAUAAUUCUGUUGGCACCUUUUUGCCAGCAGAUCCUAGUACUUCUACUGUAAUGGGUACAGCAUAUGAUUUGCGUCACAUGAUAUUUGGAUUGCCAGAAGCAUCUGUAAAGUCAUCUAAUCAUUUGGAUGUGCAAGCUUCUUCUGCUCACAGUCACAACCUCCAAUCAGAAGUAUCAGCAUCUGUAAAUUCUGCUCGGCGUUAUGAAGCUGUUGCUAGUUUCCGAUUGAUAUGGUGGAAUCAGAGCUCUAACUCAAGGAAGAAACUGUCCAUAUGGCGUCCAGUUGUCCCUCAUGGGAUGGUAUAUUUUGGUGAUAUUGCAGUCAAAGGGUAUAUGAUAAUGGAUAUCUUAUUCUUAUUACAUUCCGUGUAUGUUUUCUUUUGUUGUAUCUAAGUAACAUAAGUUUUGAUGCUUACUAAACUUAGGUAUGAGCCUCCAAAUAACUGCAUUGUUCUUCAUGAUACUGGAGACGAAGGGAUCUUCAAAGCCCCUCUUGAUUUCCAAGUUGUUGGUCAAAUUAAGAAACAGAGGGGAAUGGAGAGUAUAUCGUUUUGGCUUCCUCAAGCUCCUCCAGGUUUUGUUGCUCUUGGUUGCAUAGCAUGUAAGGGAACACCAAAACAGAGUGAUUUCAGCUCAUUAAGAUGCAUGCGCAGUGAUAUGGUAGUUGGGGAUCAAUUUUUGGAAGAAAGUGUAUGGGAUACAUCUGAUGCCAAGCUUACAAGAGAUUCGUUUAGUAUAUGGGCAGUUGGCAAUGAGUUGGGGACCUUUAUAGUUCGUGGUGGAUUCAAGAAACCUCCAAGAAGGUUGGCUUUAAAGUUGGCUGACUCACAUGUACGGAGUGGCUCAGAUGAUACUGUAAUUGAUGCAGAAUUUAGAACUUUUUCUGCAGCACUUUUUGAUGACUACGGUGGCUUGGUGAGAAUUCAUACUCUAUAUAGUUUCAUAUAGAAUUUAAACUAACUGUUACAUGCUGAAAUUUCUCCUGGUUAAAAGUAGUGUGUAAUGAAUAACGAAGUAUGCGAAGGGAUUAAUUAGUUGGUUCUUUUUGUGGAUGAGGUGGGAGAUCUCUGGACUAAAAUUAGAGACCUAGUUUCAUUACAGGCAUCUUUGUAUAACAUUAGGGAUGUCUCUUUUAGUAUAAUUCAUCUUUGAUUGUUUGUUUUCUUUUGUUAAUUAUGGUCAUUCUUUGGUAGUCAGUUCACUUUAAUGGAUUUGUUGUCGAUCUUUUCUUGCAUCCUUUUUUUUAAAAUAAAAAGUUAUUUAUAGAAUUUUUGUUUCCUGUAAAAGUAAAAAAUUAAAAAAAACAUUAUGUUUUUUUAGUUGGUGAAUCAAUAAUUCUGAUUCUUGAAAGUUUGGAAAACCAAUGAGGUUUCUCUCAUGCAUUUAAUGGGAAAGCACUUACUCUUAUAUAGUCGACUUCCUGGUAGAAAGCUUUUCUGAGGGUGGGGCUUGACCGGUUGAACAGUAAUAAUUUUGUGUUUGAUAUAAUUUGUUUAAUGAGAAAGGACAGGGCCUUGGAGAAGAGAUGGAAGAGAACAAGGGUAUAUUGACAUAAUAUUUCUAUGGACUUAAUUCUCCUAGUUUUGGGUUUGCCUUUUUUGGUAGCUUCAUACUCUUCAAUGGAUUGCUUUGGUGUUCUUUUAUGCCUCAAUUUUUAUUUGACUUUUUGUUCAUCCUUCAUAUUCAGCUUCAUGUUCUUUGAACUUUUGUAUGCAUUUACUUAUUCCUUUGUUGGUUUUGAUCUCGUGUUCUCUGUUCUUCUUAUGAAACCUUUUAUACUUUGUAUUAAUGUUCUGAAUUGUACAUAAUUAAACCUUUUAUCUUCUUUUCUUUAAGAAAAUAAUAAGUUAAUGUUUUAUUUUAGUUCAUGGUUAUUGUUAUUGAAAGCUGAAAAACCUACUGUUACAUUAAUUUGCUACUAAUUGAAGGUAUUUUUCUAAUUUUUCUUUUUUGAAAAGAAACAUAAUUUUAUUAAAGUAGGAAAGCUAAUUACAAAGAGUGGGCAAGGAAAUUUUUCUUAUGAUUUUGUUUUAUGGAAUGUGGCAGAUGGUUCCAUUGUUUAAUGUCUCUUUAAGUGGAAUUGGGUUCAGUUUGCAUGGAAGAACAGAAUACUUAAAUUCUACUGUGAGCUUCUCUUUGGCUGCUAGAUCAUAUAACGAUAAGUAUGAAAUUUGGGAGCCUCUUGUUGAGCCAAUGGAUGGAUUCUUAAGGUAAUUUACUGUACUACGUCAAAUGUUAACACUAUAUUGGGAACAUAUGUGAUGCAUUUAAUAUUUUGAUCAGCACUGAAUCGAUUGUUUAAUUCCAUUCCCUGCUUUACUUGCUAGUACUGUUUAAAUGUGCUGUAAAUUCACAGUUUUAGUAGCAGCAUGAACUCCCCCUACCUACCCAUUUCUUUUAAUUUAGAACAAUUUGAAUUUCUGGUGUUUCUAUUAUAUUAUAUUUCAAUUGGCCCCAAUCUUGGGAUUUGAACGAUGACCAUGCUUUGUUGGUUAUGGGUCUCGAGACUAUGGUAAGAUUCUGAAAAGGAAGAGGGCUUGAGGAACAUCCGUUGAACAGUUUGUAUCUGUUAUAGUCUUUUUAUAUAUCAGCGAAGGCCAUUGAUAUGUGUUCAUCUCACUAUUGAGCUUGCUAGGAUUUUGAAUUUAGUUAAAUGAGGUCAAGGUGGGUGACUUACCAAUGUUAAUUUGAUGGAUGACAAAUUGGGUUUGUUAGACAACCAGCGGCUCCAAAAGCUUAAGUUGUUAGGGAACUGGCUAAGAUGCAGUGAGCCCCUCUGGCACCUUAGAGUUCGAAGAUGGACGGAGAGCUAGAAAAACAGAUAGGCGUAGGUGCAGCCCCACCAUGCACCAUGAAAACCAAAAAAUAAGUGGAAAAUAUGUAUUAUUCUUGCACGUUAGGUAAAGACAUUUGUGUUCAUAUCAUUCUUGCAUGUUAGGUGAAGGCAUUUGAAAUGGGAAGAUAUGUAAUGGAUAGUGUAAAUGGGAGAAGAAAUAAGAAAAAUUAAAAUUUUUGUGACUCCAUUAAUUGAAAGGUUAGAGAGCUAGAUCUUAUAUCUCAUGUGGUGUUUUUCUUGUUCUUUUUCCAUCUUUUUUUUGUUCUUUUGGGGUGAAGGGGUGGGGGGAGAAGCUUUGUGUAUGUGUGUGUGUUUGUUUGUUUUUAUUUAUUUUUGUCCUUGCUUUUGAUGUUAUUGUGGUUAUAUUUGAUUCAAAUUUUCACAUAUGCAUCACGUGUAGUUAUUCCCUAAUUUAUGGUUACUUACAGGUAUCAAUAUGAUCCUAGUGCUCCAACUGCAGCUUCCCAGUUACGUCUUACCUCUACUAGGGAACUGAACUUGAACGUUUCUGUGUCUAAUGCUAAUAUGAUAAUUCAAGCUUAUGCAAGCUGGAACGGUCUUAUUCAUGUUAAUGAAUAUCAUAGAAAAAGAGUAAAUUUCUUCUGGUUCCAUCACUAAUAUGAAAUUUAUCUUGUACAUUUUUUCUCCUUUCUGCAAUUGUCGAUUAUUGCUUACAGUUCUACCUUUUCUUUUUGUUUUAACAUGACAUCAUAUAGGAAGCAUCCUCUCCAACAGAUGGUGGAGUAUCUGUUAUUGACGUCCAUCACAGGAGAAACUACUAUAUAAUUCCACAAAACAAACUUGGUCAGGAUAUCUAUAUUCGAGCUACUGAAUUAAGGGGACUCGCAAACAUAAUUAAGAUGCCAUCUGGGGAUAUGAGGCCUCUAAAAGUUCCCGUUUCCAAGAAUAUGUUGGACUCUCACUUGAAGGGAAAACUUUUCCGUAAAGUUAGAAGAAUGGUGACUCUUAUCAUAGUGGAUGGGCAGGUAUACCCUCUUUUCUUAUGGACGCAAUUGCUUAAUUCCUUCCAUAUAUCUUGUAUUCAAAGAGUAUCUGAAUUUCAGCUAGUCACACAAUUGUGUUUUUGUAUAUGUUACAUAGUGAAAUGGCUUCCCUUAUCUUGACUACUCAUCUACCUGCAAUUGCAGUUCCCACAGGGUAGAGGGUUGACAUCCCCCCAGUAUACCAUAGCAAUCCGCCUCAGUCCUGACCCGAGUCUCCCUAGUGAAUCAUUGAGCCAUCAACAAAGUGCACGUACUUGUGGAAGUAGCUCGGAACAGUUAUCUUCAGAGCUUGAGUUGGUCAAGUGGAAUGAAAUUUUUUUCUUUAAAGUUGAUGAUCCAGUAUGUAGAAUGUUUUUCUCUUAACAAUUUCUUCCCAAUUAAAUAACUGCUCUGCUUUUACAUGUGCGAGGUCUUUGCACAUUUGUUUUCACAUCUCUUAUCACCAAAAUUUGAUUUUGUUAAAGCAUGACUCUUCAACUCAACAUGUCCAGUUUUGCUGUAUAUGAGGAGAAGGGCUUCAUAUCCCCUUGGCCACUUUAUAAAUAAAUUUUAUUCUUGCGCCAAGAAAUUUGUGUAACAUCUGUUCACCUAAAAUAUAAUUUGAGAACAAUUUCAUUCCCUUUGGUUGCUAAGACAAGCUAAGUCAAUUUUUUUAACCCCACGUCACAUGUUAAAUUUCAGCUUUCAUACUUUUCAAAUGAUAGAUAUUAAUGUUGCUUGUUGAUGAAUAUAGUGCCUGCUAGUUAUACCAUCUGAAUCUGGCACAUCAUAAAUGAUUCGUUUUCUUAAAAUGAGUUAAUGCUUGUUUUUGCCUCUGCUUUUUUUGUUUUGGUUUUUUUUUUUUGCUGUGGUUAUUUCACAGUAUCAACGAUACAUCCUUUUGCCCAUGUUAUAUGUCAUUUGUUUGGAAGUUGUAUGAGCAUAAAGUAGCCUUCUUAUUAGUGGUAACAUCCUAUUUUCAUAUUCUCUGUCGCCAUUUGGUGGCCACCUCAACCUCUUCUAUCCAAAUUUGUGCAGGAUUACUACUCAGUGGAAUUAAUUGUCACGGAGCUGGGGAAAGGUACUGCUUUUUAUUUUUUCCCUUACUCAAUCUGUUGUUUUUAAAGUUAAUACACGAUAGUUUAUUAUUAAUCUGCACGCCAUAGGGAAUAUCUAUGUUAUAAAGAUACUCUGUUAAGCCUCUGUAGAAAAUGUCAACUUUAGACUUCUUAUUUGCUAAGUUAAGGUACUUGAGGAAAAUAUGCAUUAUUUCUCCUCUGUUUAUCAAACUAUCUAUUUUGGACAAGAAUUUCACUUUUCAUGUUUAAUUUUACAGGGGUCCCUCUUGGAUUCUUUUCAUCCCCUCUAAAGCAGAUUGCAGGGAAUAUCCAUGAUGAUUCAUACGCAUAUGAUAGUGUGAACAAAUGGACCUGGGUUGAAUUAUCCUCGACAAAUUCUGCGGUAGAGUUCUUUCUCAUAUCUUAGCAAUAUCCUUUUUUCUUGUCGUAUCUGUUUUGUGGCAAAACAUGUAGUGUUGCCUCCUUCUAGGGUAAAAUUUUAUCAAGCAUUUACUGACAAGUGUAUUUUUCAACCUUAUAAUAUUUACGUCAACUGUGAUUCAGGGAAAUAACGGUGAAAAGUUGAGUGGUAGAAUCAGAUGUGCUGUGCUCUUGUCACCAAGAUCUGAAGCUGAGAUAAGUGAUCAAUCAGAUAACAGUAACAGAAAAUCUGGAUUUAUUCAGAUCAGUCCAAGCAGGGAAGGACCUUGGACUACUGUGAGGUUGAACUAUGCUGCACCGGCCGCCUGUUGGCGGUUAGGGAAUGAUGUUGUUGCUAGUGAAGUACAUGUGAAGGAUGGCAACCGAUAUGUCAAUAUUAGGUCUCUUGUUUCGGUACGUAACAGUACGGAUUUUGUACUUGAUUUGUGCCUUGCAUCGAAAAUUUCCAUGGAAGAGACGACGUCAACAAAUAAUGAAAGUACCCCUGAAGGUUUACAAAUCCACAGCAAUAAACUUCAGAGUGAUGAGUUCUUUGAAACUGAAAAAUACAGCCCAGGCACUGGCUGGAUUGGCUACAUGGUUCAACCAAGCCAAGAUAUCUUCGAAAGUGGAGGAUCUCAUCAGGUAAGAUAUUAGUUGAAGUUCUUGGCAUGUGUUAGUUACUCAUGUAGCUUGAUCUAGUCAUUGUUCUUCUAUGCAAGGCUUUUCAUAUUGAAUUUCAAUUCUGUUGAUAAAGCUUACCAUGCUUGAUUUAAACUACAGUAUGGUUUCAUAUUUUAUUAUUGCCUUGUAUUUUACUUUUAUUUCCAAUUCUAAUCCAAAAUUGGAAGCUAUAAUAUCCGUAAACUAUAUUUUUAUAUGGAUUGGUAGUAUACUUUGUGAUUCUUUUGAUUAGAGAACAAAAAAUUUUAUAAAAGAGAAAAGUGAUACGAAGAAAGAUUGUGAAGUCCAGCAAACUUGCAAAAGCGGCAACGAAUGCCUUAACAAGAAAAAUUACAACAGCUCUAGCCAAUCAAGACGAGUUACACUAAAGGUCUCUAAAUUUAUUAGCAUAGAUAGUCAACUCUUAUCCAAAGUAAAACUUCCUCCAUCCUGUCAUCAGAGAAUGUUUUAUUCAUUUACCCCAACCAAAACUGCACAUCUCCAAAGUGUAAACCACUUUACAAAAAGGUCCUCGGUGAACACAGCAAUUUCUUGGUCAAACCCACUCCACUCUAAACUGUUGUGCAACCUACUCACAUCGGUCUUGAAUAUAUCUAAUUCAAACACAUUGAUUUAGGGAUGGUUAAACUCCUUUAUUGUCUGUGGCAUUAUUAGACAGGUUGGAAUAGUAAUUCUGGAGCCGUUAGCUUGUUUCUAAUUACUGUUGGUAAUGCAGGGAAUUCCUGCUGUUGAGUUACCACCAGGCUGGGAAUGGGUUGAUGAUUGGCAUUUGGAUAAGGCAUCUGUUAACACUGCUGACAGUUGGGUUUAUGCUCCAGAUGUUGAUAGUUUAAAAUGGCCGGAGUCAUUUGAUCCCUUAAGGUUUGUAAACUAUGCAAGGCAAAGGAGAUGGAUCAGGAAUAGAAAACAAAAUGUUACAAAUCAAAAAAUACAUAUUGGACUUUUGAAACCUGGAGAUACGAUAUCCCUUCCCCUAUCUGGGUUAGCACAACCUGGAAUGUAUGUCUUGUGUUUAAGGCCGUCCAAUCUCAGCAAUCCUAUUGAAUAUUCUUGGAGUUCAGUGGUGGAUGGGUCUGAACAAGCAGAGGAUUCUAGUAAGUCAAAACUAUGUUCCGGGAUAAGUGUGUCAUCUCUCACUGAGUCAGAGGAACUGUUGUAUUGCACCCAGAUAAGUGGUACUUCUUCAAGUGUUCUGCCUAAGUUGUGGUUUUGUAUGAGUGUACAAGCAACUGAUAUUGCAAAAGACAUUCAUUCUGAUCCUAUCCAGGAUUGGAAUCUUGUAAUCAAGUCCCCGUUAUGCAUCUCCAAUUUUAUUCCACUUGCUGCUGAAUUUUCUGUUCUUGAGAUGCAAGAAAGUGGUAACUUUGUUGCCCGCUCCAGAGGAGUGUUUUUUCCAGGAAAAACUGUCGAUGUUUAUAAUGCUGACAUAAGAAAGCCUUUGUUCUUUUCACUGCUUCCACAAAGAGGGUGGCUGCCCAUACAUGUAAGCUUUCAAGACCAAUCUAGUCCUUGCUCUUUUCUUAUGCUGAUAUUUUUGUUUGGCAUAAAAUGUUUGUAAAUCCGACCAUUUCAUUUGUUUGUUUGCAGGAGGCUGUUCUUUUAUCACAUCCUCAUGAAGUUCCGUCAAAAACCAUAAGUUUGAGAAGUUCGAUAUCUGGAAGGUUUCAAAUUGAAUAAUUUGCAUAAUAUAUUGUAUUGGAUAUCUUAGCUCUUUUGUACAUUUAUUGAAGUGGGUUUCUUUUAUAGUCUAAUCUUGCUAGGUAUUGUUUCUGCAGGAUUGUUCAAAUCAUUCUUGAACAGAAUUCUAACCAAGAACGACCACUGCAGGCUAAGCUCGUUAGAGUCUAUGCUCCUUAUUGGUAUUCAAUUGCUAGGUGUCCCCCUCUUACAUUUAGGCUUCUAGAUAUAAAAGGAAAGAAACAUACACGCAAGGUUGGUUGUCCACUUGAAUCUAAAAAGAACAAUGAAGCUAUCCUCGAGGAAAUAACUGAAGAGGAAAUAUAUGAAGGCCAUACAAUUGCUUCAGCUUUGAACUUUAAAAUGUUGGGCCUUGUGGUGUCCAUUGAUCAAUCUGGCACGGAGCAGUUUGGACCUGUUAAAGAUCUUUCUCCCCUUGGUGACUUGGUAGAUGUCAAUCAAUAUUAACUUUGCAUUGAGACAUUAUUGGUAAAGAAGCCUUGUUAAGAUUUUCUCUGUUCUUGUUUUUAGGAUGGGUCACUGGAUCUCUAUGCUUAUGAUGGUGAAGGCAAUUGCAUGAGGCUUUUUAUUACAACGAAACCAUGCCUAUAUCAAUCUGUUCCCACAAAGGUAGUUAUAAAUAUGAGAGAUUGCAAUGAAUCUUUGUAUUAGUCAUUUACUCUUUGCCCUCUUUCCAGGUAAUUUCUGUGCGACCAUAUAUGACUUUUACCAACAGACUUGGUCAGGACAUAUAUAUUAAGUUGUGCAAUGAGGAUGAACCAAAGGUCCUUCGAGCAACUGAUUCAAGAGUCUCAUUUGUACAUCGUAAAUCAGACAGACCUGAUAAACUUGAGGUUAGUGGAGUGCAUAUAGUUAUAAUACUAUUGUCUUGACAUAUCUACCAAUCAACCUUGUAUCUUUACUUGUUGACGUGACCCUCCUAUAGACCUAACCCUAAAGUUUAUGCCCAUUGUUGAGAAAAAUAAGGGAGCAUGAGGUACAUUAAUCUUAAUCCUAAAAGGAUCAAAAUAAGGAGCAACCUAAUCACUUAGGAAAUUUCGUCGUAGUACUAGUAGGAAACUAAUUAACAACCAAAUCACUUGACUGAAGAAAUUAGAUCACAGUCCUAACCUGACUUGAAAACCAAAUAUUCUUAUAAUUUAUUGACAAUAUACUUUGUUCUGCAACACUCCCUCUCAAGUUGGAGCGUUUUUGCAUAGCUUAACAUGACUUGAGAAAUAUAACUAACUUAGAACAUAAAAGAAAAGAAAAAAAAAUUAAAAGCAGAAAAACAUUGUGUUCCUGGAGAGCUGAGAAGAAAGAGAUGUGAACUUAGGGAUGAAUUCAAAUUCAAAUAUGAAUCUUAAGGGAAUUUUCUUGGAGACAAAAGGAAAAAAAUGGAAGCGGUAGGACCACAGGAGGGUAGGCUAGUGCUAGGAAUGUAGGAGAGUGAACAAGUCUGACAAAUAAGUUUGAGGAUGGAAAGGGUAACAUUAUAAAGAUCGUGGAGGUAGUUAUGAAUGUGAAGUAAUUACUGUUUGAUUGGCUUUGUACUGAAGAUGAAAGGGUGGCAUUUAUGAUGGAAGAGCUAGAUUGGUGCUCAAUUUUUGUGGAGAAAGCUAGUUGGCUGGGAACACCUUUCGAUGAGAAGGAAAAUAGAAAAUCUGAGUUUGACUGUGGUUUGAAACAUAUGAUCCAGAUCAGAUGGCGGUUUCUCAAGAUUGUUGGGAUGUUGUCAAAGUUGACUUAUUGAAGGUUUUCUGGAAACUUUUUCUACACCAAGUUGUUAAAUCUUGUACUAGCAUAACUUAUAUUUGUUACAUACCAUAGAAAACCCAGUCAUUGAGAGUAAAAAUUACUAGCCCCAUAUGUUCAGUCACGAGUCUGUAUAAGGUCAUAAAAAAGGUGCUAUUCAUGAGAUUGAGGGUAAGUGUUCAAAAUGAACUACGUAGAAGUGCAAUCUUGAUUUCAUCCUUAGUGAACUUUCAAUUUUCCUUCCAAGUUCCAUGAGGUUUGCAUUUUAUCAACCAACUGUUCAGAAUUUUUCUUUUAACUAUGGUCACGAUCAAGAGAUUUUAUCUUAUACACUUUGGCAAAUUUUAUUACUAUAUUGUUCUGUUACAUUUUUAGGUUCGAUUAGAAGACACCGACUGGUCUUUUCCUGUCCAAAUUGUAAAGGAGGACACCAUAUCUCUUGUUUUGAGGAAGCAUCCUGGUACUAGGACAUUUUUGAGAACAGAAAUUCGGGGCUAUGAAGAAGGCUCACGUUUCAUCGUUGUGUUCCGCCUUGGAUCAACCAAUGGUCCUAUCAGGUACUUGUGUGUUUCUACAUGCACAACACACACACAGAUAUAAUGUGUACAUAUAUAUACACACAUAUUUAUAUAUAUAUAUGUGUGUGUGAGAGAGAGAGAGAGAGAGAGAGAGAGAGAGAGAGAGAGAGAUGUGACUAACCUAUUAAACCUUUGCAUCGUCAGAAUCGAGAACAGAACAGACAGCAAAACAAUUAGCAUUCGACAAUCGGGUUUUGGUGAAGAUGCCUGGAUUCCCAUAGCACCUCUUUCGACAACAAAUUUUUCAUGGGAGGAUCCUUAUGGCCAAAAAUUCAUACAAGCUAAGGUUGACAGUGAGCUAGAAAUUGGACCUUGGGAACUCGAUUUGGAAAGGACUGGGAUAUUUUAUGCAGAGGAGGGACUUGGAUUACAAUUUCAUGUUAUAGAAACCAGUGAUAUCAAGGUAGCAAGGUUCACAAAUGCCACAACUUCAGGGACAAAUUCACAUCGGCAACUUGCUGGAAAUUGGGGGCAUUCCCACAUGCCAAACACCAUUCAAAAUAAUGGUGCCACACCUGUUGAGCUUAUAAUUGAGUUUGGAGUUGUAGGGGUCUCUAUUAUAGACCAUAGACCAAAAGAGGUGUCCUACUUGUAUUUUGAGAGAGUCUUCGUAUCAUAUUCAACUGGUUAUGAUGGUGGGACAACGGCCAGGUAAGAGCAUCACCUUCUUAAACUCCAUAACAUUUUCUUCAACAUGUGAUUCAGUUGUCAUGUUAUGUGAAACAGGUUUAUCAAAUGAUAGGAGCUAUUGAAUACAUUAAUUAGGACUCUUGACUGACAGUUACCUCACUUAUGAAACCAAUAGAGGAUACAAUGAAUAUGAAGCAGUGUAAAAGAAUCAUUUCUUUUGCAUGCCCAAAAGAAUCAUUUCAAUACUUAAGAAUGUCAUAUUGAUAGUUUAUAGAAUCAAGGACCUGUUUGGUAUUGUUGUGACUUUUAAAAUACUACUUUCAAUAUGUUGUGAGAAAAAUUAGCCUUAGUAAACCAAGUGUUUGGUGAACUGUGGCUGUGAAAGUAUUGUGAGUAUGAAAGUUUGAAUCAAAACCCUAAUAAAACAGUUUCCUAAUAAAGUUUGAAUCUGAUGUUUACAGGCAUUUCCCUAGUUAUAGGAAAUAUAUAUGAAUUAUAGAUGCAUUUUCUUAAAUAUUAAAUGUGGGGAUGUUAUUGCAUGGCAAAUUUGUUGGGAAUAAAUCCCACUGGCAUCACAAAUAAACCGAUGGAAAGCUAGAAAAUAAUGAAGCACCAAGAUGAAAAUGAGAGUACAAGAGCCCACCAAAAUAACUUCCACAAAGAUAACUAUCCGAAGCUGUGAACUCUGUGACCAUUUCUAAUAAAGAAAUAGCAUCUUAAUGCCUUAUGGUAUUCUCAUGGUAGGUAGACUCAACCAGCCCUAAUGUUUUUUUAAAACGUGCAAUGUGCGCAGUAGUCCUUUUGGUUGGGAGCAAAUUGUGUGGCUUCUUGUAGCUGUUAUUGCUCUGAAGAGGUUAUGUGGCCAGUAGAAACAUCCAGCUAGAGUAAAGAUUCAUAAGAAAACUAACAGGUUUCUUUUUAUUUUAAAGAAAAACAACUUUUUUCUAUGUUUGGCCUACUCUUUGGGAAUGAAAACAUCCUUGUUGACGAUUGUUAAUACAUUUGUGUGUGAGACAUAGAAGAGACAAAGGUUAAUACAUUUGUGUGAGAGAGAGAGAAGAGAAAGAGGUUGCACAGCUUGUUUUGUUUAAAUGUGUGAACAAAAAUACGGGUAGAUGUAUAUAAAAAUUAAAAUUGCUUUGGAAUUUUAUUUUAAUUGUUUGAAUAUGUGACUAUCAUUUGGCAUUAUUGAAAUUUUUUGAUCAGUUUUUCUGUUUUCCACCUCCAUAGUGGAAAGUGUGCUAGAUUUUAGUGACUGAAGCAUCUUCUGUCUAUAACUCCGCGUUAUCAGCUCCAUCAUCACUCAAAUGUUGCUUUGCUUAUUAGAAAUAAUGCUUACACCAAACAUUCGUGUUCCUUUCUGCCAGGUUCAAGCUCAUAUUGGGCCAUCUGCAGUUGGACAACCAGCUUCCUCUAACAUUGAUGCCAGUGUUGUUGGCUCCUGAAAUGAACUCUGACUUGCAUCAUCCAGUGUUCAAGAUGACAAUUACAAUGCGUAAUGAAAAUAUUGAUGGUAUCCAGGUGUACCCUUAUGUUUAUAUACGGGUAAUUCUUUUUAACACGAUGCCUAAAAGGUCUGUAUCAAUUGCAACAGUGAGAUGUUUGCCUAAGCUCUGACCAAAUUUAUGAUGACAUGAUAGGUAACCGAGAAGUGUUGGAGGCUUAAUAUUCAUGAACCAAUAAUUUGGGCGUUGGUGGAUUUCUACGAUAAUCUACAGUUAGAUCGUGUACCUAAAAGUUCUAGUGUCAAAGAAGUUGAUCCUGAAUUACGCAUUGAGUAAGUAUCACAACUUGUUUUUGUGUCCUGAAAAACUGCAAUUCAUUGGACUUGCAGUGAUAUAAUUCUGGUGUGCUGAAGUGAACUGUGCUUUCUCCUUCACCACCAUCCUUAUUUUUGGGUGGUUAAGUGCAUAUGCCAAGGCUUUGGCUUUUUUUAUUUAUUAAAAAUCAACUUUCAUGUUCAAACUAUAUAUCAGUGUAUAAUACUUAUGUGAAAAUUAAUAAACUUGGUCCAUAUCCAGGUCAUUUGCAAUAGUAUUAAUUAUGUUUCCUUUUCUUGUGAGGGUUCUCAGUGACUUCGUAUUUUUUACCCCUUGGAUUGGUACUGUCAUAAUUCUUUCUCCAACCCCCUUGCUGCCAGGUUGUAGUUUUCUGUCUUUGCUGCCUGUCAACUAUUGGGUUUCCCCAAACCUACUAAACACAGUAUAGUAUGCGUGUUGCAAUAGUACAUCUAGAAUUAGUAGUGUCAUCUUUCUACUGAUAUUGCAAACUUUAUAACUCCGUCUACUGAUGGGAAAUAGAAUUAUAUUGUCAACUAGCAGGAACUUAAUCUUCUGUGAUUUGAUUAUGGGAGUGACAUUUCCUUAAUCUUUUUCCCCCAUUCUUUCCAGCCUAAUAGAUGUUUCAGAAGUUAGGCUGAAGGUCGCAUUGGAAACAGCGCCGGCUGAAAGACCUCAUGGGGUUUUAGGGGUGUGGAGUCCGAUACUAUCAGCUGUCGGAAAUGCAUUCAAGAUUCAGGUCAGCUCUCUGGCUUAUCUGGGUGUUUUUACUGUGCAUAUUGGGUGGUUCUAUAGUUGAAUGCUAUGAUUUUCUUUCCAGUUUUUGUAUUGACUUUUUUAUUUUUAAUUUUUCCUACUCACGUUUGUAAGUAUUCUUAAAUUUGCAGCAAUUCGUAUGGCCAACAUGAUAUGUAGACUUAACACGUUUCCAAUCUAUUAUGUAGUGGUAAUAUUGGGAUUGACGCUAUGCUCAUGACACUAAUAUCUCAUUGCUGCAGGUGCAUCUUAGAAGGGUGAUGCAUCGAGACAGAUUCAUGCGGAAGAGCUCCAUUGUUUCUGCCAUUGGUAACCGUAUUUGGAGAGAUCUGAUCCAUAAUCCUUUACAUUUGAUAUUUGCGGUUGAUGUACUUGGUAUGACAAGUUCAACUUUGGCAUCUCUUAGUAAAGGGUUUGCAGAGUUGUCAACUGAUGGGCAAUUUAUGCAACUACGUUCGAAGCAGGUAAGUUCUCAUAUUAACCUAGAAAACAACAAAGAGAGAAAAAUUAGCUGUUCAUUUCUAUUACAAAAGGCUAAUUUUGACAUGGUUUCAGGUAUCAUCAAGGAGAAUAACUGGGGUGGGUGAUGGAAUUAUGCAAGGUACAGAAGCACUUGUGCAAGGUGUUGCUUUUGGGGUGUCUGGAGUAGUGAAAAAACCUGUAGAGAGUGCUAGACAGAACGGGUUCUUAGGAUUUGUUCAUGGGCUUGGACGUGCUUUCGUGGGAGUGAUAGUGCAACCAGUCAGUGGGGCAUUGGACUUCUUCUCAUUGACUGUUGAUGGAAUUGGAGCAAGUUGUUCCAAAUGCUUAGAGGUUUUUAAUAGCAAAACAACCUUCCAGAGAAUUAGAAAUCCCCGAGCUUUCCGGGCCGAUGCUGUACUCAGAGAGUAUUGUGAGAGAGAAGCUGUCGGGCAGGUAAUUUGUUACCGCUUUUAUGUAAAUUCUAUGUGCAAUACUAGAAAUUUUAUCUCCCAUUAGCCAGAGAAACUAUGAGCCUUUUCUUAACUUUGUAAACUUCAGAACAGAGGAUGAGAGUUGACUGGUGAGAAGGGUGACUUGAGUGAUGGAUGGAACUAUUUACAUUAGUAAUACUGCGAGUCUGAGUGAGUAGGAUACAGGAUCCAUACAAUAUUUGAUGGCUUGGUUUUUGUGAGCCUGAGAUGGUUAAAAGUUCAAAGAAGCCCUUAUGGAGUUUUUGUGAUUUUAAUUCUUAACUUUAAUGAAUCAUUGUUGAAAAGCUUGAAAUACACGUUGUAUGAAAUAUAAAUGAAAAGUAUCUUUUAAUUCUUACCCCCUGAACUACAAAAGUUGUGAGUGUUCGGUAUUUUGGUUUGACACUGCUUCAACCCAAAAGAAGUUAGCUAGGUCUUAUCAUUUUCAGGAAAAGGAGUGUAGCUGUAGUCAGUCACUAUUAUCUUAAUGUACACUUCUUAUUUAUUUUUAUUUUAUUUGUUUUUUUUCGUAGAUGAUUUUAUACCUUGCAGAAGCACAUCGGCAUUUUGGUUGUACUGAAUUAUUCAAGGAGCCCUCAAAGUUUGCUUGGUCCGAUUAUUAUGAAGAUCAUUUUGUUGUGCCUUACCAGCGAAUUGUUUUAGUGACCAAUAAGCGAGUCAUGCUGCUUCAGGUUAGUAACAGUCUUUGCUAUAGCCUAUAGAUACCUCUGUUAUAUGUUACCAAGUUUGUCUGCUUGACAUUCAGUCUCUUUUCUUUCCCCUUUAGUGUUUGGCUCCAGACAAAAUGGAUAAGAAACCUUGCAAGAUCAUGUGGGAUGUACCUUGGGAAGAGCUUAUGGCCCUGGAGUUGGCAAAAGCAGGCUGCAAUCAGCCAUCUCACUUGAUCCUCCACCUCAAAAAUUUUAGGAGAUCAGAAAAUUUUGUACGGGUUAUAAAGUGCAGUGUUGAAGAAGAAACUGAGAGACGAGAACCCCAAGCUGUUAAGAUCUGUUCUGUAGUACGUAAGAUGUGGAAAGCAUAUCAGUCUGACAUGAAAAGCAUAAUUCUGAAGGUCAGUAGUGUACAAAAGUAUUAAUUCCUGUAGAGGAGGUAGGAUAUACCAACCCCUAAUAUGAUUCUCCAUUCUCAGGUUCCAUCAAGCCAGCGACACGUGUACUUUUCCUGGUCUGAAGCUGAUGGGAGAGAACAUCGUUUACCGAACAAGGCCAUUACCAGGCUGAGAGAGCUCCCAUCAGACAGUUCUGCAUUGGAUGGUAGGAGAUUUGUUAAACACAGUAUUAACUUUUCAAAGAUUUGGAGCAGUGAACAAGAAUCCAGAGGCCGAUGCACAGUGUGCAGAAAGCAGGUAAUUUAGCGUUCAUCCUGUUGUACCUGUGUCCAGUUUUGGAACUUUAUUGUCUUCUGGUCGAGAGUUUAGAACCCUGCGGUGGUGCAGUUUUAGAUGAAACGUUAUUUCAUACAUUCAGGUUUCGGGAGAUGGUGGAAUCUGUAGCAUUUGGAGACCCAUUUGUCCAGACGGGUAAUUAUGAUAAUUGUUUUGUUUUCUAUUUUUCUUGAAAACCUUAUAAUGUUAAUUGCAUUUAAUUCUAUUUUUUAUCAGUGACUAUAUAUUUUUAUUUAUUUAUUUGGCAUGAGAUCUUGAAUGCCAAUACUUGUGCAGUUCAAUUUCUUGAUGGCCAAGUUGUAGAAUCCUUUCCUGACUAUAAUUGCAUCUUUCUUUGCAUUAGUCAUUUGAGCCUACACUGUUUAAAGGCUACUUGUUACCAAACCUUACUAAGUUUGAGAAACUUCCUUUACAUUCUUGAUCAACUGAAAGGGACUGAAAUGUUGAGAAAAUGCUUUUUCUGUAGCUGAGCUAAAGCUUUGGCGGCUAGGGAAUAUCACAGGUUUAAACUCCCACCCGUCCUAUCCCACUUUUCGCCAAUCAAAGGAGAAAAGUCAAGACAAGACAAAAAUAGUCGUUUGUGGUUCUCUUUUAUCGCCUUUUAUAUAAUGUGAUUUACAAAAACGAAAUUCACGUCUCAAGUGGUGCCAUCAAGAUGCUAUAUGUUGCAAGAAAGUAGAACCCUGGGUUUCAAUUUAUAUUCUAAUUUCAGUAUCCUGAAAGUAUGAAAGUACUGAAUAAUUGGGUGGAGUAUGGACAUCCCCUGGCUGCUACCUCUACUUUGAUUGUCUCCAUUCCAUGUUGUAAUUUCUGUUUGUGGUUGGUUUGUAUAUCCUGUUUGCUUUUCUUUUCAAUAAAGAAGGAAGUAUGCAUUUCACCACCAGAUGCUGCUAACUCACUUGUUAUCAUUGCAAGAUUUGAAGUGUUAUUUUUCUUCUUCCAGGUAUGUCUCCAUCGGUGAUAUUGCUCACAUUGGCAGCCAUCCUCCAAACGUUGCCGCAGUUUACCGUGAGGUUGACAGAUUGUUUGCACUUCCAGUUGGUUAUGACCUGGUAAGAAAUUUAUAAUUAAAUCACAAAUGUAAAACCUGGUUAGGUUUGUUUUUCGUCUGGGUAUAACCUAGUUAGGCUAGUCUCUAGGAUUGUUAACAUUUCUAGGUCAUCUCUCGAUGUAACUCUAGGAUUAUUAGAACUUUUAGGUCCUUGCUUGGCCCCACUGUAGUAUGGCUUCUCUCUCAAUAUAACUUCCUGGGAGAGUAAUCGAUGAAUUGUGGUGUUUUCUUUUGCCCCCAUCUUCAGUUGAAAUAUGUAUGUUUUCUUUUCAUAUAUAGUCAAGUCAUGUGUGAAAUAGUCAAAACACCAUUUGAUUUGUUACAUAACAACAAUUGGAAUGAAAGUAGGGGAUAUUGGAAAAUCUGAUCAUAAAUCAUUCACUCAUUUUAAACUACACAUAGACCGUUUUGUCGUGAUCUUUAUUGAGAUUAAGUUUGUUCAAUAUAGUCUUAUCACUACAGUUAGUGGUGACUACUUUGAUUACGUACGGCGUUGAACUAUGAUGAGUCCGAUGCAGCUUGAAGUUUUGUGAGAAGCUUAAUGGUUCCUAUUAUAGAAUGGCAUUUUUCUGGUCAAAUAUUGAUGACCUCUCUUUGGUCAUCUAUUAUAUAAAUGGUUAAUAUAUGUACAUAUGCAGGUAUGGAGGAACUGCAUGGAUGACUACACAACACCAAUAUCGAUUUGGCAUCCUCGGGCUCCAGAGGGAUAUGUAUCUCCUGGAUGCAUUGCGGUGGCGGGAUUUGUUGAACCCGAACUUGAUGUAGUGUACUGCAUAGCUGAAUCACUUGCUGAAGAGACGGAAUUUGAAGAGCAAAAGGUUUGGUCGGCUCCAGAUUCUUACCCGUGGGUGUGCCACAUUUAUCAAGUCCGCAGCGAUGCUCUUCACUUUGUGGCUCUAAGACAAGCCAAGGAAGAAUCUGACUGGAAACCUACGAGGGUUCUUGAUGAUCCUCAGCCUCUAUUGGACUCACUAAAAGAGACCUGAAAUGUGGGUCUAUAUUGUAAGGCCUUUCCAAAUUUUGCUAGUUAAAUUUCAACCAAAAAGAAAAACAAAAAAAAGGGCUUGAUCAUACAUCAAAUUCUGAGUGUAUAGGACUCUAUAGGAUAGCAUGUCUUCUCUCAUGUUAUGGUUUUUUAUGCAAUUUGCAUCCGAUAGUUGAGGCAGAUUGUAUCACUAUGAUGUCUCUCUAUAAUCCGUUGCCAGUUGAUUUCCGGCUCGAAGUUGAUACAAUGCUUACCAAAUAUGGGUGAACAGAUCGUCAAAUUUCAUAAUUCUAAAUAAGCAGAAAUUAUUUUUUUAAUGACUUCUGCCAUUUUAUUCGGCCCAUUUCAAUUCAUUGAGUAAUCAAAUCACUUGUUAAUUAUAUAUAUAACAUUGUGAAGUUUGAAGAUUCAUUUUACAAGCGUACCGAAAUUUGCUCGGUACCCGAUGUUUUGGCAUAAUUCCACCUUAAAGCAAUUCAGGAGUUUAAUUAUACUCUUAUCACUACCACUACUAACAACUUUUUAUACAUAAAAAAAAAGAAUAUGUGAGUGCCCGUGCCAAGUGCACUGGGGACUGGAAGCUGCCCCACACAUAAAUGUGAGUGGUUCGCCCGUGCCAAGUGUCAACACACUUUUCUGCCGACACUCUUAUGUAUGUCUUGCAUCGACUUCUUACCACCUCAAUUAGCAAAAUAUUAUAAUUGAUCUGUUAACUAUUGAUCUCGAGAGAAAUUUGUUAACAAACUCACAGAAUAUCCUAAUGAAAAAUGUUAUUAAGUUUUCUACUCUCUUAUGUUUUCACAUAAAAAGUGCAUAAUGAUUUUCUUCCUUUUUUAAUUUAAUAUUUUUAAAAUUGAGGAAGAAUCCGUCUAUGCAAUCACAUAAAUUUGACACGUUAAAUUUCUUUAAUAUUUUUUUUUCAUUUUUGUCGAAAUUUUCUUAGUUUUGAUCAUAUUUAACAAAUGUCAAAAUCACAAUGUCAAAAUCAAAAUGGUAUUAAAGAGGAACUCAUCCUCAAUUUGACGGAGCCAAAGUAAUGCUCUUUAAAAAAUAUCCAAAAUAACAAUAAGUUUUUUUUGUUUAACAAAAUGGUUAUUAAAUCGUUGACCAAAAAAAGCCAAAGCCAAUCCAAAUCCAAUCCAAUCAAAUCAAUACACUUUACACUUCCUUAUUUACAAAGUUGCCAUUACCCGCCACUCCUUCACUCCUAACUACCUUCUUCAUCUUCUUCAACCUUUCGGAUCUCUCUCACCUUUCCAUUUGUGAAAUUCAAUGGAGGGUCUGAUCAAGGGUCUGAUCGAUGUGGCGCUCGGUCACGACGAGAACAGGAAUGAAGAUCCGGGCCCACGGGACCGGCAGGAACAGUCCAGAUCCACCUGGGCUCAGGUAAGCUACCACCACUCUUAUUUUUCAAAAGCCUUUUGAAUUUCUCGAUCUUAGAUCACAAGUUAAAGAGUUAAAUUUUGGUGUUGCUUGUACCUGCUGAAAUGCGCAGGUAGUGUCCGGGGAGGAGCAAGAUGAGAAUGACAGUGAUCGCCCACAUGGGUCCAAGCAGAGUCAUUGGAAUCGACAGGUUUGGUUUGGAUUGCAUUGGGGUUUUUGGGUUUUGGUUUUGUUUACUGUGAAAUUAAUGUGAACUGCAAGUGUGAAAACUUGCAGGAACAGAGUCAUUUGGGGCGUGCAGAGUGGGACAAUGUGGAUUCGGAACCUUCAAGGCGACCCCACAAGGUGAAUUGUAUAUUUUAAGUAGUUAAUUUACUUAUUUGUUUGAGAUUUUGUUAUGGGAUUUCGAUUUGUGGUAGAUUGGAUUUGUUGAAGAUCAUUGUUCUAAAUCUGAAGAACCCAUUUUCUAGAAAGAAAACAUCUUCAGGUUUUUGUACAUAAUAUCCAAAAUUUAAUGACUGAAGCAUAAGGAACAAUGAAAUUUAACGAUAAUCUUCCUUUUCAUAGAGGAUCAGGCUUCUCUGUUGGUUAUCAUAUGGAUGAUAUAAUGAAAGAAAGUAUUCGUGGUUUCGAAAGAACUUAUCAUCUUCAUCAUCAUACUUAAGUGACCUUUUUGUUUUGUGGGUUUUAAUGUCCUUUUUAUCUCUUCAUGUGUCAUAUCCUCACAGAUAUCUCAAAUGCAGGCUGCACAUGAGGGAUAUGAAAGGAAUGAUGAUGGUGGACGACAUGGUUAUAACCAAAACUACUCAAGGAGGAAGGUUUGUCUCGUUUUAAUUAUCUGAUUAAUUUUAAUUUAGUGGGAUUCAUUUCGAACAUUUUGGUCAUAUUUUAUUAUCCAUGUUGAAGGAUGAGGAGGAAAAUAAGGAUGGCUGGGAGACUGUUGGAAAGAGGCCUCCAAGGCAACAACCACACAAGGUUUGUUUUCUUCGUUUGAGUUUAUCAAACAUCAAAAAGGCACCUACAGAUAUUGGUUCCAUUUUCAUUAUGGGGGGGCAGCAAAACUGUCAAAAAGUUUGGUCUUAACUUUUUGAUGUUGGGUUAUAGUUUGUUUUUUCAGUAGAUUGGCAUCUUAGCUGCAUUUGAUGUUUUCCUAGAUAAGUUGGGCUUGUAGCCUUGAAACUGUUUCAUCCAAUAUCCAUGUAGUGCAUUAACUAACUUGUACUUCUAUUGAGUUGAAGCUAUUAGAAAUUAAUCUUGAAUUAUAUGAAUUACAGACUUCUGCUACUUUUCCUUUUUUUCCUUGUUGACUAUGCAAUAUUAUAAGUUCAUAACAUUCUAAUCUAUUCUAUUUCCUAGAGGUCUUGUCUUAUUAAUUUAAGUUUAAAAAAAAUGAAUUUGUAAUCUCCUUAUGUAAUGAUCGCUAAAUAAAAAAUCAACAGAUUCAGAUGGGCCAGUGGAAUGGAUAUAAACGGCCUUCCACUGAGCAAGAAUACUCUGAUGAGGCUGAAGUAGGUGCUAAAAUAGAACCUUCUGAAGAAGAGCUUUCUGAUCUGUCACAAGCUUGCAGUAAAAUCUGGGAACUUGAUUUAAACCGUUUAGUGCCUGGAAAGGACUAUGAAAUUGACUGUGGUGGAGGGAAGAAGGUCUACCAAAAGGAAGAUUUGGCAGAAGGCAGCUUAUUUACCUGGCUGAGUGAAGAUAUAUUCAGGAGACCUACUUUUUCUCGUUUCUGUUCUCUUUUAGAUAAUUACAACCCAAAUGAGGGGUGCAAAGAAGUUAUCACAUCUGAGGAGAAGCAAGAGCAGGCUGCAUUCAUAGAAGAAAUCAGCAGAACUGCUCCCAUUAAAUAUCUUCACAAGUAUCUCUCACGCAAGGGCAUUCUAUCUGAGAGCUAUCAAGAUUUUAAAAGAACAUUGACCACUCUCUGGUUUGAUCUCUAUGGCCGUGGUGGUGCAUCUGCUUCCUCCUCUGCUUUUGAACACGUUUUUGUUGGAGAAAUUAAGCAACGUGGUGAAGAAGAAGUUUCAGGCUUCCACAACUGGCUUCAGGUUGUCUUUUAUGACUUACUCUUUACCUAUAUUUUGCAUUUUUAUUGUAUCUUAUCAUGUCAACAUAAAUAUGAUGUUAAUUGAGAUGUGUGUUUGGUAUUAUUUUCUUGUCUCUUUUUUUUUCUCUCUCCCCAUCUAUCUAAAGUUGUCUUACUCGUGAAUGCUAAGUAUCUUUAUUCUAUAUCUUCCCAGUUUUACCUUGAAGAAGCAAAAGGAAGAGUUGACUAUCAAGGUUAUAUUUUCCCCCGUCGACGUGGGCAAACUGUAAGUAAUUCUAUUAAGUGUUCUGCCUACAAGGCUAGAAGAUAGUGGAAAUGGGAUUACUUGAAACGAGAUAAAGCUCUCUUACUCUUUCUUGCAUCACAUUUAAGGGUAUUUUAUUAUGAUAUUAUGUUUAACUGAACUCCUUAUGGAAUAUGAAGUAACAAAACAUUCAAGAAAUUAUAAACUGAGAAGUAAAUGAUACAGUAAUGCAAUGACUUCUCAGAGUUGAUUCCAACUGUAGAAAGAUGCAAGAAUAACUCAUGAAGGUCGCACAAUUUGAGACUUGAGGUUGUGCAUUGAUGACUUGCGCAAAGAUAUUUGUCUUUCUUUUUUGUUUCUAUUUCCAGUGUCAACAAACAUGCUAAAUCAUAUUUUAACAUUAAAUAUCUUAAUAAUCUCAUUGAGACUCUUGAAGAAUUCAUUACUGUGGAAGCAAAUUCAGAGCUUAGCUUCGAACAUUUUAUGUUCAGUUUAUGGUAAAGAAUGGUUUCCCUAUUUAUAUAUUUUUUUCGAAACCUGCCAUUCUUGAAUAUGAAUUUUUGUCCUGCUCUGACUUGGAAAGUAUUAUGUAUACUAAAUUGCAGCCAGACUCUGAAACCCAGUUGCUUACGAUCCAGUUCGAAUGGAACGGUGUUUUGAAAGCUGUAUCAAGCACUUUAGUUGGAGUGAGCCCAGAAUUUGAAAUUGCAUUGUACACCCUGUGUUUCUUCAUGGGUGGAGAGGACAACCAUAUCGAGCUGGGUCCAUACCAAGUUAACAUAAAAUGCUAUCGCUUCGGAGACAGAAUUGGAUCUGUGUUUCCUAUGGCAUAGUGUUGAUCUCAGGGUUUAAACCAAACAACUUAUUGUCCUAUAAGAUUGAGUUAUGUGUAGGUGAAAUUAUACUGGAAGUACAGGGCAAUGACAAUAAUUUGUAUUGUAGUGUGAUAAGAUUUGUAACUUAUAAUUGAAGCCACCAUUAAGAAUUUUAUGCACCAACUAGCCUUUCUUCGUAAUUCCCCCCCUGCUGAUGAAAAAAGAAAGAAAAUAUCACAGAAAUUCAGAUGAAAACAUUUCUGUAUCAUACUUCAGCUCAGUUGUGUAUACAGGCUGACAGCUGACCAGGCUAUGGAUGCUGCGGAGCUUCUCGCCAUCUCUAAUUCUUCAAUUGCCUUUACUCAUUUCGUCUUCGUUGUGAAGAAUUUCAAAAUUUUAAUUUGACAGAAACCAAAGCAAAUAUCUUCAGCUUUUGGUCUUGGAGAAAGGAAAAUAACGAGAAACUCAAACCUUUUUUUUAUAUUUAAGAAAAAGCAAAUCAGAGUUUGAAUCUUGCAUAAAAACGCAACCAUCCAACAGAAAACGUUUGGUAUGAACUUAAGUACAUUUUGCCCCGAACUGAAUUUCUAAAAAACCAAGAAUUAACAUUCAUAGUCAAUUUUCAUUUCUUUAUUUCCAAAAAUUUCUCACCCACAAUUAAAUAAAACUCAUUCAUAAUUCAUUUAUUAAUAUUUUACUAAAAAUAUUUGAUUUAUUAGGGUAAUGAAUGAUCAAAAUCGGAAUAUAAUCAGGUUAUGAAACCAUCUAUUUGCAUGGGAAUCGAUUUAAGGCCCAAAAGUGACACAUGUCUGGAAAAAAAAUCAGAUUGAAAUAUGAUCCAAAACCAGGGCCAGUUCAGAACCAUAUUUGUAAUCAAAUGGGUUUAUUUAGCCUCAUUAAAACCUUUCUUUACAAAAUCUCCAAAGGAGGAAAACUGCACCAUCGCAGUUUUUCUUGGUGAUUGUACUUGGUUUUUUCCAGUAUCAAUGAAGGCUAUUUUUCCUAAUUAAAAAAAAAGGGGUUAAUUUGGAAUCAAGUGGAUUUUGGAUUAUAAAUUUUACCAUCCUUUUUAAACUAUACGAAUUUGUAACGUUCACAUAUGAAUUUGAAAUCUAUACCACAGACAAAGUAUGUAAUUAUAUUCUAUAUUGAGAAUUUGAAAUUAUUUAUAUAUAGUAAUUACAACAACAAUGACAUGAAAAAUUGAAAGUUGAUUAAGGAGAGUGUAUUCAAUUGAGAUUUUAAUGGAUUGUUUUGAAACUUAAAAAGUAUAGUGGUAUUCAAUUAUGAUUUUUAAGUAAUCAAUAAAAGUUUGGUGGUAUUCAAUUAGAAUUUUUAAAUAAUCAAUGCAAGUCCGGUGGUAUUCAAUUAGGAUUUUUAAAAGACAAGAAAAGUACCGUGGUAUUCAAAAACUUACUGAUUUUAAUGUAUUUCAUUAUUAUGGUGUACUGUGUGAGACUUUUGAGUGUGUGAUAUAAAUACCAAAUCACAUGACAAAUCUCAACCUCCUAUGCCUGAUUCUCAUAUAUACUCUCAUAUCGUUUUUUCCCCAUUAUUUUUUUAUGCUUAUUGUGCAAAAAGAUUAGUCAUAUCUAGGCCUCAUCAUUUGGCCCGCGGGCUCAUGGGCCGAUGGGGGCCCGCUUGGCCCAUCGAAAAAAAAAGCCUGGCCCAGCCCGUUAUGGGCUUUGAGAUGGCCCGGCCCGCCUUGGGUCGGGCUAGGCUUGGGUUUGGGUGUCUGAAGCCCGGCCCUGUCCAUAGGCCCCGGCCUGAUUAAGCCCAAGAAAGCCCGGCCUGGCCCGUCCAAAAAAGCCCGGCCCAUUAGGCCCGCAUACAUAUAUAAUUAUGUAUAAAUAAGAGUUUAAGUUUAGGAUUAUAUCACUUCUAUCACAUAUAUAAUUUGUUUCAUUUCAUCUACUUUUUUUUUUUUUUUUUUUUUUUUUUGAGAAAUUCUAUGAUUGCAUUCAUAAUUCAGCCAAAAAAGUCACUAGCCACAAAGGGCCAAUACAAACUAGUCACAAAAGGGCCAUUACAAUAACGGAGCGGUCUAAUAUCAAAAUUAAGAAAAUCAGGUAUGUCUCCACCAACGAUCAGGCAAGAUCGAAGAAACUCUGGCAUAGGCAUCCCAAUUAAGAUUGCAAACUUAGAAUAAUAAAAAAGAGAUAAAGCUUGAAAAAACCAAGCCAUAACAAUACAAAUAAAACUCUCACCAAGGAGAGAUGAAAAGCUCUCACAAAGGAGAGAUGAAAAACUCUCACAAAAGGAGAGGUGAAAACUACACAGAGAACCCAAAGAGUCUCUGCAACUUAUUCCAAACAUAAAGAAAUUGCAAAAAAGAUGGUGGUGGAGAUCUGACGCCGAAAUGCAGGUGAAGAUCCGACGCUGAGCCGCAGCCGCCAAUAAUGGUUGGAUGCAAAUCAUAAUAAAACUAAGACAAAUAGGGAAAACCCUUUGUCUAGCACAUUAAUUUGUGUCAAUUAUUAAUUCAACAAUUAUAUAUAUAUCACAUCACCAAAUAUAAUCAUAUCACGAAACAUAAUCGUACCACCAAAUAAAAUCAUGCUUUUCUUGAACACAUCACCAAAUAUUUGCAUAUUUAUUCAUACUAUCCUUUAAAAAAAUAUUUUUUUGAUACUUAUUAUUUUUUAAAAUUAUUUCUUAAAACGUAUUACGGUCUAAUUAUGUAAUAACCUCAAAAAUAAUACUUGGUUUUAUUAUUUUUUUGUGAAAAAUCUUAUAAGUUGUGUGACUUUAUUGGGUGUUUUAUGAAUUUGGUCCGAAGUGAACAUAUUGGAAUUAAGUGAGUUUAAUCUCAAAUUUGGACUGAAAUGCCCUUAUGAUUAAGUUUUUGAUUUUUUUUUGAAUGAAGUAGGGCCCGUUUAGGCCCGGCCUGGCCUGAUGGGCUUUCUCAAGCCUGGCUCAUGGGUUGGGCUUGGGUUUUGAAUUUUCUAAAAAAACCCUGCCCACCCCAGCCCGAUAUUUUCUCUCUUCUCUUUAAAGCCCGGCCAGACUUGGCCCAAACCCAUUAAAUUUGAACCGAACUAGCCCAUCCCGGCCCAUUGACAAGCCCUAGUCAUAUCUAGCAAAAUCUAUUGAAAAAUAGAUGAAGAUAGGUAGAACAAACAUUGGGCAAUGCCCAUCCAAACAAAGAUAAAAAUAAAAUAAAAACACGAGUGUAAAGGGUGAAGUCUAUAAUGCAAAAGAUCUAUGGUCACAUGGUAUAGCUUCUUGAAACUUGAGCUCUAAUCAAACUCGUAAUUCACCAGAAAACUAAAGGCAGAAAAUUUCCACUAUAAUUUUUUGGUGCAUCACACAUCAAACUUUUCAAUGGAAUUAAGCUCUAAUUGAAUCAAUGAUUUACCAGAAAGCUAAUUUGAGAAGCAAACUCUCCAACUAGUUUUUUGGUACAUCAUCGACCGACUAGAGCUCACCUCCAGCUUUACCAAUCAAAGGAAGUAAUAAUUUUUGUGCAAACUCUGGUCUAUAUGCAUUAGUAUAUAUAGGGGGUCUUAGUGGAUGCAUAAAGAAUAUUGGCCAAUAUAUAAAAAUAAACAAAAAUAAAUUUCAAUAGUAAUCUACUAAUUAAGCUAACGUCAUUAAUGUUGUGUAUAUUUGGAAUGAUAAUUUUUUUUUGUUGGUAAAUAUCACGAGGUGUCCCCACACCGAAAGAGAGGAUUAAUUCCCGCUCGGGAUUCAGCUUGCCCCUAACCACAAAAUGCUUCCAACAGGUUAGGAAUGAUAAUUUUAAAUUUAAUGAAAUAAUUGUCAUUUUUAAAUGGCAAGUAAUUGUAAAAGUUGUACUGUAAAUAUGUUUCCUAAGGAGUUGAUAAAAAGGUAUAAACAUUGCAAAUUAAAAUUGCUCUGCAUGCAUUCAGUGUACAAUGUACCUAUUAUAACUUACUUUCUAUCAAGGUUUAAAAUAUCGAUGAUUUCAAAAAUAACGAUAGUUCAAAAACACGGAAAUUUCAAUAGAAAAAUCGGGAAAUUAUCGAUAUCGAUAAAAAUGAAAUAAAAAUCACGAAAAUUGUAAAAAAAAAAAAACUUGAAAAAUUUUCUUGAAACUUUCAAGGAUAUUUAUUUAGUUAAUUAUCUAUUACUUCAUCACAAAAAAUUGGAAGGAAAUGCAUUGCAUGAUAGGUUUAAUAGAUUUAAGUUGAUUAUAUAACAUUGCAUCAAAUUUGAGUUAUUUACACUAACAUCCCCUGAGGUUUUUGGCUUUUUCACAAAACUCCUUGAGGUUUUAGAAAUUACAGGAACACUCCAUGACGUUUUAAAUUGUUUUCACAGAACUCAUUUUCAUUGAUCUAAUACAAAAAUUCUCCAAAUGACAAAGUUGACAUUUGAGAUUAGAUUACAUAUACUUCAUUGAGGUUAAUUUUGUCAUUUGCAUACGUUUUUAUUUCAAAUCAUCAAUUUUGGACAAACAAUCAACAAAAAAGGGUUUUGUGAAAACAAACUGAAACCUCAGGGGGUGUUCGUGUAAUUUUUGAGACAUGAGGGGGUUUUGUGAAAACAUAAGAAACCUCAGGGGAGUGUUAGUGUAAAUAACUCUUCAAAAUUUUCACAGUCUUCAUCAUCUUGAUAUUAUCGAUAUUACAACGAUAUUAUAGCCUUAAUGUGGCCAAAUGUUGCUGAAGUGUGAAAGAAAUUAUCGAUGUCAAUAUUUUUCGAUAUUAUCGAUACUUAUACGAUAUGUGUAUGGAUAUGUUCCAAAAUAUCCUAAACCGGAAAAAACGAUCAUAUCCUCGAUAUUAUCGAUAUUUUAGUCCUUGCUUUCUAUUUAGUCAAUUUUCUUUUCUUGUACUUUCCUUAAUUUGAAAAUACUCUAGUGAUGAAUUUUCUUUCUUGUAAGAGAGUGAUUUUGUCUACCAUCUCAUCAUAUUAUAUUUUCCUUAACAGAACUUGCUACAACACCAAUAACAAACAGGUUGGUUUUGUACCAAACACGAAAAUGAAAAAUUCACGAAAAUUUAGAUUAUUGAAAUAUGAGAAGAAAAAAAAAAGUAACCUUGCAAACAUAAUAGACUUCAUUAUUGUGGUGCAAGGUUUUCUACAUGGAACUCGUGAAUAUGGCUCUAAUUGUAUUGAAGGUUGAAUAAUUAGCUAAAAGACUUGAAACCUUUUGGGCAAGGUUGAAUGGUUAGCUAAAACACAAAGGCAAACACCGAUUUUGUGCUUACGCUUAAGAUUUCUCAAAGAAUGUGGCCCUAUUAGCACCGCCAUAUUGCUAAACUUAAUAAUGUACCCUAUUCGCUCUCUUUCUCUAUGAGAACUAAAGAAAAACUCCAUAGAGGAGGAGGAGGAAGAAGUGUCAUUGUUCCUCCUCCCCCUCAUUUCUCUUUGCAUUUUUCUUUUUGGGUUAGUAAAUAUGUCAACUGGGGCGUUUUGAAUAAGAAGCCUCUUGUGGUGAUUUCUUCUGAGCCAUACUCAGAUUGAAGUUUCCCAUAACCUAUUUUGGGCUAUGUUCUCACUUCUCCCAAAACCCGCUCUUUAACGUUGCUCAUAUUAUAUAAAUUUGGUUCUACAUUGUAUUUGACGGAGUUUGCUGCAAAUCAUCCAAUUGUUCUUUGUCAAGUUCUUGUUUUGGCAUAUUUAUACGUUCUUAUGCAUAAGUAAAUCACUGGAAACCAUGCUUUCUUUAGAUCUGUUACGGAUUUUGUUCUCGCUUCAAGAUUUUAUGCUAUGGUGGGUAUGGCUGCAAUGGUGGUUCUUCAUGUGGUGGUGGUAGGUUCAUUUAGGCUCCUGGGUUGCUUUAAGGUUUUGUUUUGGGUUUGUGGGCUUUGUUUGGGAUUAUGCUUAAUUGUGGUGAUGUGGACUAAUAGUUUUAGUGCGGCUUUUGUCCCCUUUAGUUUUGUUUUUAGCAUGUUAGUUUGUUGCCUUCUUGGAAUUUGUGCUUUAGAUUCAUGUUGAUGUUGUUGAUUAUAUAGUUAAAGUUUAUCGAAUGAAGUUUCUCUUUGAUAAAAAAAAAAACCUUUAUUAUAAAAAAUGUACUCUAAUAUAAAAUUGCAUUCGAGGGCAACAUUUUUGUCAAAAAAGAAAAAACAAAGUAGAUAUUGUGGAUUUCGUGCGUAGAUCUUGUCAUGCUUAUGUGGCCAAAUCUAGGCAAAUAUGGUGGCUGGCCCAAGCAUAGGCAACAUAGCUAGGAUUUUAUAUUUUGGGGGCAAAAAUGUCAAACACAAAGUUUAGUUAUAUAUUGUUUUUUGAGCUAUUGAGUAAACUAUUAAAGAACUAGUGAAUACUUCAACUGGGGCAUAAGCCUAUGCCCCCCACAGUUAUCAAAGUUGUAUUCCAAUAUGAAUCUACAUUUAUGAAGAAAAAAAACUAUUCAUUUUAGUUUAAUACUCUUGUAGAUACGGACAUUCUUCAAUAAAUAUUUUAUGUUAAGAAUUAGUUAUAUACUUCUAAUCUUGAUCGUUGGAUUGUAUUCAUUAAAUAUGUUGGUAAUAUCUUAGAUGUAAUUCAAUGGCCGAAAUUAGAAAUAUGUAACCAAUCCUUAACUUAAAUACUUAUUGAAGAAUGUUUCUAUCUACAAGAUUACUAAAUUGAAAUGAGUGGUUUUCUUUCAUAAAUGUAGUAUGAUUUUACUACUAUAUUUAUAUUGGAAUACAACUUUAAUAAGGGUGGGGGCCAUAGGCUUACGUAUAUCAAUUUUUCUUUUUAGUUGUUACCACACCCAAUAUAUACAUUGAAAGGGAUUAAAUAAAUAGUAAAUUGAGCUUAGACCUAUAAAAUUCAUUUUAAAUCACCUAAAACCCUUUCCUUUAGUUUUCUAUUUAAAAUAUCCAAUUUUUUCAAAUAAUACCCGAUGACUAGGAUCCAACUAAACAAGUUACCUAAUAUAACUUAAAAUCUGAUUUAUUGUAUUUUUCGGAUUCCAAAACUACCCCUAUUUAUGAGUUAAUGUGUUAUUAGAGGUGUAACUAAUGACACACGUUGAAUUUGGAAAGAUCUCCAAAAGGUUGUAAUGGAUGUAGGAAUUAAUUUAGAAACUUAUUUGAAAUUAAAUAUUAAAUUAAAUAUUAACGUAUUAGUAAUCUAUUUUACGACUAUUAAUCUACUUUUGAAUUAAUGUUGUUUUCCUUUUAUGAAUUACAGCUAGUAAACUAUUUAACGUAUUAGUAAUUUAAAUUCAAUAUUAAAUUUAGGAAUUAAUGUUGUUUUUCUUUUAUGAAUUAUACGACUAGUAAUCUAUUUUAUUAUAAUUUUAUGAAUAAUAGUGUACAUUUUAAUUAAGUUGAAAAAUAAUUUGAUAAUCUAUUUAUUAUUAUUUUUAAAUUUUUUUUUUUUAAAAUGAACCUAUUUUUUCUCUAAAUAAUGUACCUUUUUUUCUCUAAUAAAGCACCUAUUACUUUUUUUUUUGAAAAAUAAUUUGAUCAUCUUUUUAUUGUUUGUUUUAUGAAUUUUUUUUUUUAAAAUGAACCUAUUUUUUCUCUCCAAAUAAUGUACCUAUUUUUUUCUCCAAUAAUGUACCUAUGUUGAAAAAUAAUUUUAUAAUCUAUUUAUUUAUUUAUUUAAAUGAACCUAUUUUUUCUCUAAAUAAUGUACCUUUUUUUUCUCUCUAAAUAAAGCACCUAUUACUUGUUUUGUGAAAAAUAAUUUGAUCAUCUUUUCAUUGUUUGUUUUAUGAAAACAAUUUUUUUUUUUAAAUGAACCUAUUUUUUCUCUCCAAAUAAUGUACCUAUUUUUUUCUCUAAUAAUGUACCUAGUAAAACAAUUUACCUAUAGUAUAAUGAACCUAUAUUUUUUUUUUCUAAAUUUUGUAUCUAUUUUUUUCUCUAAAUAAUAUACCUAGUAAAACAAUUUACCUAGUAUAAUGAAUCUAUUUUUUUCUUCUAAAUUUUGUAUCUAUUUUUUUCUCUAAAUAAUGUACCUAUUUUUAAUUUAUAAAAAAAAAUGUGCAUAAAUUUCAAUUAUACAACGCACCUAUUUUCUAUAAAUUAUUAUGUACCUAUUUUUAAUUUAUGAAAAAUGUAUUACAAAGUAAUUGACCUAUAUUUUUAUACGUAUAUAUUUAUAUUUAUAUUUUUCAUAUGUACAUUAUUGGAUAUGUAAUUUACAUAUAUAUUUUUUUUUGGUUUGCAAUUUUAGGGGGCAAUAUGUUGGAGGGAAUGACAACCAAAAGAAAUAGGGUGAUUGAUAUUAUAUUAAUAGGGAGUUUUAAUUACAAUUAUGACAGUUAAUGAAAUGCUUGGAAUAAAUUAUAAAUAAAAUAUGAAGUUUGAUGGCAAGGAUGUAAAAACAUAGGAAUACUAUGACCUCUUAUAUCCUACUGGUCAUUUAAGUUUGAAAUUGAGUUUUACACAUAGAUUUAUUGAAUGAUGGGUAUAUGUCUAGGAAAUAGAAAUUGUAGGGGCCUAUAUUGGACAAGCCCUUAAAUAAAUUGGGGGGCUAAGAGCAUCUCCAGGAUAGUCUCUAAAUUUUAGCCAAAUUUUAGCUGAAAUGGUUAGAAAGCUAUUAUAGCAAACUACUAAAAAUGAUCUCUAUUUUGGCUAAUCUAUAAUAUUUUAUUAUUUCUCUCUCUUACUCUCUAAAUUAAAAGUUUAUUAAAAAAUCAAAAAGUAAGAGGUGAGAGAGGGUUGUAGGCCUAGGGAGAGAGAAGAGGAAGAAAUGGAAAACCCUCAAUUUCUCUCUCCUCCUCUCUAAAUGUAAAGAGCCACCAAACUCAAAUAGGGAGUUCUCCAAAAUAGAGAGCCAGAUAGCAAGUCUGCUGGAGUUGCAUUUUGCCCUAAUUCUAGUCAAAAUGGCUUUGCUUGAGAUUCUCUAAGGCCUUAGCAUAGCUUUGCGCCUAUGCCCAAGGAUGGGGUGGGGUAUAAGUUGUGUCCUCCAUGGCUAAUUGGUAUAUCCAAAACAAUUAGUGCAGAUAUAGGGAACAACAUAAGUUUAGCAAGACAUGGGUAUAUCUAGUCGUACUCGAGCAGAUCUAGCUAGCUACACCUGAAUAGCUCUGGACGAAACUGUGGGAACCGAAUUAAAUAUGAACCCUAGGUCAAGUAAUUCCUCCCAUUUCGGGAUUAUUUGACCUAAUUGAAAAUUAUUCAACCUAAUUGGGAAUUACUCAAUUUAAUUAGAGAUUACCCAAUUAAAUUGAGUGUUACCUAAUUAGGUCGAGAAUUGAUUUGAUUCCUACCACAAUUCUCAAUUAUUGGGAGUUACUUGAAUUAAUUGGGAGGUUAUUUGAUUCAGAUUGGGUGUAUUUGACUUAAUUAAGGGUUUGAUUAAUCAAAUCCGUAAAUACACCAACCUCACCAACCUCACUAACCUCGUCGAGGCCUCCUAUAAAUACUUGGCUACGCACAAGGAUUGAGGUACGUCAGAACUACUACUAAAAACUCUGUAGAGAUCUUCCCCUCACAGACCUUAGCCACCUCUUCUCUCUCUCUCUCUCUCUCUCUCUCUCUCUCUCUCUCUCUCUCUUUUACAUAAGGCUCUAACCGCCCGUUUUAUACUAUAAACACAUCUCCGUACCCUAUUAGCUAUUGUUUUCUAUACGAUUCAAUUGAACUAAUUUAGGCAUCGGAGGGCCUUUGGCCAACACCCCCCGGGUGUGGUCCUCUUAUUUGUUCUAUUUUGCAGGGAGAAAAAGGCGGCGAGGAAGAAAGGGGAAUCUUUCCAAUUGAAUAUUCUCGUUGGGAAAUUUGCUCCCACAAAAACUGUACAGAUCUAGCUAGAGUUGUGGAGAUCUAGCUAAAUCGGUGCAGACUUAUAUAGAUCAAGAGAAAUUUAUCCAAAUGUAGAUGAGUAUGGGAAUAUUUAACUUAAUAUGACCAUGAUGACAAAUGCUAAAUAGUCUGCAUAUGUAGUUACAUGUCGACAAAUCUAGCUGGACUUGACCAGAUCUGGCCAUAUCUAAGCCAAAUCUAGCCAGAUCUAGACACAUAUACCAGACAUACAUAGUUGAAUUAGUAAAAUUCUAACCAAAUUGGAGAAAGUCUAGGCGAACCUAGAAAUAACUAGCCAAACAUAGCCAAUCCGGCCAGAAUUGGGCAGAUCUUGUCAUAUCUAGCUAUAGUUGAUAGUCAGAUCUGUGUAGAAAUAGAGGAAGAUGGGUAGAACAAAUAUUUGGAAAUGCCUAUCAAGCCAAAAAAUAAAAUAAAAUAGAAACAAGAGGGUAAAUGGUGAAGUCUGCAAUGCAAAAUAUAUGUGGUCAUGGUGUAGCUUCUUGAAAACCUGAAAUCUAAUCGAAUUAGAGAUUCACCUGAAAACUAAAGUUGGUAAAUGUGCACUAUAAUUUUCUGAUGCAUCACUAAUCGACUAGAAUUCAUCUUCAGUUCUAGCUAUUUUGGUCGUCAACAUCAAUUUUUUCAGUGGAUUCAAGCUUAAAUCGUAUAGAUGAUUUACCAGAAAACUAAGAUGAGAAACUAAUAACUCUAACUAGUUUUUUGGUGCAUCAUCGACUGACUAGAGCCCACGUCUAGCUUUACCAAUUUGGUGAAAAGCAAUAUCCUUCACGCAAACUCUGCCCUAUAUGCACUAGUAUAUAUAGGGUGUGUUAGUGGCUCAUUUGUGAAUAUUGGCCAAUAUAUAAAAUAGAAACGUUAAUGGUAAGCUUCUGCUUCAGCUAAUGUCAUUAAUGCUAUGUAUAUUUGGAAGAGUGCUGCUAUUUUUAUCUUAAUUUUAUUUUUUUAUUCAUCUUAUCGUUCCACCUACUAUGUAAAUUCGAAAAACAGAAUCCUAUUUUUUUACCCACCGUUAUUCCUAAAAUACCCUUUAAUUAUUAAUUUAAGCAAAUUCUCUUUUCUAAUCAAUAGUAGUUGAUAUAUGGAGAGGAUCACGGACUGGAUAAAAGUUUUGAUCUAAUAUUUUAAUUUUUGGAUCGUUUAGGUUUUUUUUUUCUCUACUUAUAGCUUUUGAAAAUAUUGUGGAUAAAUGUUUUAAAGAGAAAGGUGUCAUUUAAAGGGCAAUUUUCUAUUGUGUUCCAUUUGGGCGUAAAAAGAGAAAGGUGAAAGGAAUAGAAACAACACCUUGUAGACCCAAAAAAAGAAUGAAAAUAAUUGAACUACUGAACAUGGAAUAAAAUCAAACAAUGGACUGAAAAAUGAAGCACAUAUAUAAAACCACUUCUUUUUUUCUUUUUCUAUUUGUCAAACGGUAGAAUAGGUGGGUCACGUGAGUUGAGGUUUUUUCCCUAAGUCCUUAGAAGUCAUUUUACAAAGGAAAAAAUUUGUCUUUAAAAUGUUGAAGAUAAGGUGGUUGAAGAAAAAAGACAUUGGGUGAAAAUAGCAACACUCAUUUGGAAUCCCAAUUUUAUCGUUUUUUCGGGACUAGGAUAUUUUGAGACAUAUUCAUACACAUAUCGUAUAAUUAUUGAGAAUAUCAACGAUUAUAUCGGGAAAAUAUUGAUGUCGACAAUUUCUCACACGCUUCAACAAAAUUUGGGAAAAAUAUCACGAUAUAUGCAUGCAAUGGAAAAAAGAAAAAAAGAACCCGUAGCACACACGCAAAGGGGGAUUCAAAUCCUUGCCAUUCCACUCCUCCAACGCCUUAAUCACCAUGUUGCUAAUGUUUAAAAAUAAAGUAAUUGUAAAUGUUGUUCUAGAAAUAUGUUAACAAAAAAUUGAUGAAAAUAUUGUCACAAUAGGAAGUUUGACAGAAAUAAAUUGUUUGUCUUCGAAUUCUUAGAUUAAUCACAAGAAUAGAUAAUAUAAAAAGAGUGCUGCUAAACGAACCCUAAAAUUAACUGAGUAUGCCCUACUACCAAAUUAUUUAUUGAAUUACUCAUUUACUCCAAUAUAAAAUGACCAAAAAGGAUAUCUAAUUUUCUUCUUCUUCUUCAAAAAUUUGAGAGUCCACAAAAUCCUCAAAACCCCAUUUUUAUUUAUUUUAUCCCAUUGCCUUUCUUUUUUACUCUGAACUUAUAGAAAUCAUUUUAUUCUCAAUCCUAUUAUAAUUUAUAAGCAAGUCAGCUAAAACCCCUAUUAUUUUUUCUAUAAUUUUCAAUUGAGAGAGUAAAAUAGAGGUGUUAGCUGGAUUUGAAAUGAAAAGAAGAAAAUAUGGAAGAGAAAAGAAUACACGAUAUUUGCAGUUCCUUUUGGUUAUGUUUGUUAGGGCAAUAAUUUGCAAUGAGAAACACUUCAAAUAAUAAUAAGAAUAAUAAAAACAACUAGGCCUCCUCCAACACCUACACCGAUUAUAAGGAAUUCUACCCUAAACAAAAUGCUCCAUAACCUCAAUCCCACGCGUUCAUCUCCUCCCACCUAUCUCACUCACAGCUUGCUGCCGUCAUGGAAGUAUAUGCGGGAUGGAUUAUUAAUUACGUUGUGAACCAGUCAGAUUGGUGAUCAUUUGAUUGGAAAUAGAAGGGUUUUUUUUUUCUUUUUCUGGCUAAAAUUGGCAUCGUUGAGUGUUAUACUUGGGAUUCCUUGAUUCGAUUUCUGAAGAAGAAGAUAACUAUCGAUGUAGCUUUUGUCCGUUUGGCAAAAAUGUAUUUUUAUUUUUGAUUCACUACCAUAUAUGGCGUGACAGUUGUUUUCAUCAUUGGAUUGUAUUAUAUUUUAUGUGGCAGCUUUAUAUUAAAAGUCAAGCAGACAAAAUCCAAGGAGAUGAUUCAGAUCCAUUAAGGUGUUGUGUGAUAGAGUGUAUUAGGGUGUACUAGGGGUAUUUUUGGUAGUUAAAUAGGGUGUACUUAGUUAAUUUUAUAUUUUGAUUAAAAUAUUAAGGUGUACUUAGAUCAUAUGGUGUACUCAGUUAAUUUCAGGGUUCGUUUAGCAGCACUCUAUAAAAAUCAUCUAAUUAACAUGGUUGCUCAUCGAUUAUUCAAUAGUCAACAAAACACCCAUCUUAAUGAAAUUUCUUUAUUUUUUUUAAACUUAAGUGGUUAAGAGCACUGAUUCUUGCAUCCUCGAUCCUACCCCCUGCAUCUUAAGUAGUUAAAAUUAUUUAUAAUUUUGUAAAGAAAAAAGUUUGUCUCCUUAACUGGGGAGGAGCUCCUUCUUCCCUAAGAGCAUCCACAGUGGAGGGGUGUAUAAUGGGGUAUAUGUUAAAUAUACACCCUUUGUCGCCGGAAUCAUCUCCAAUGGGAAGAUGUAAAUUGUUGGAAAAAUACAUCACAACCAUGGAGAUGUAAAAUUAGAUGCACAUUUGCAUAUUUUUUUUACAUCCUUUGCAAGCGGGACCCACAAAAGAAAAAGGGAAAGAGAAGGAUUGGAAUUCAAAAUGGAAGGCCCAGAUUUCAUGCAAUUUGCAUUGCACUUCCAAUGGCCCAGAUUUCUACAUAGAUAUUUUUAUGUUAAUUUGUAGGUAAAAUAAUACGUUCUCCAAAUUAAAAUUUUUUUGGGUCCAUUUAGUUGGAAAAAUAAAAAUAAUCUAACACACAUAAAAAUAAUUUAAAAAAGUUAAAACACAAAAAAAAAAAAACACAAAAAAGAAUUAUCACAAACAAAUCGAAUAUGCAUCUUUGGAUUUACAUCGUUUUUCAUUGGAGCAAAAAACGUAUUUACACCCCCUGGAGGUGUAAAAAGGAUGUAAAAGUGGCUUUACACCCCAAAAAAUACACCCCCCCACUGUGGAUGCUCUAAAGGUAAAGACCCGUCCCAUGUGGGUGGCAGAAAUGUUCAAAAUGAAUGCUUCACAAACCUUAAUCUAGUCUUUAGUCUAACUCAAGUGGGUGGAAUAAUGUUGAUUGAGUCUAAGUAAAAAUCAGGUCAAUCUCUAUGUACCAUAAAAAUGUAAUUAGCUACCUUGUUUUCUUUUGGUAAAUAAAUUUUUAUUCCUCACAGUCCUAGAACCACAUCUGAAAUCAAAUGGAUUCGUUUGGAAUAAAAUUUAUUCAGCACUAGAAAUUUCAUCAUCCUUCUUUUUCUAUUAAUCAAAAUAUUCUACAAAUCACGGAAAGGGGGCGAGUUAAGUAAAUAAAUUAUAUAUGCAAUUUAUGUACACAAAAACUGUAUGUUCUCUUGUAAGACAGUCUAAAGUUUGUUUAGAUGGACAUAUUCAUCCGAAAAACCCUAGCCACACUCUCUCUUCUUCUCUAAGUCCCAAAAAAAAACUCAAUAGAGAAUAAAUGGGAGGAGGAGAAAGAAGCGUCAUUGUCCUUCCUUCCCUCUCAUCCUCCUCUUCCGUUGUCUUUUGGGUAAGUGAAUAAUUCAUUUGAGCGAUUUGAAUAACAAGCCCAUUAUGCUAAUUUCUUCUGAGCCAUUCCAUCUCUCAAAGCCCUCUCUCUAACACUUCUUAUCGUAUUCUGAGGAGUUUGCUUAAUCUGCCCAAUUGUUUUUUGCCAUGAUUGUUGGAUUGGCAUAUGUGUUCAAUGUUAUACGAAGAUAGAUCGUUGGAAACUAUGUUUUUCCCAUAUUUGUUGCAGGUUUUGAAAAAAAUCUCCAAACGAGGAAAACUGCACCAUCUCAGUUUUUCUUGGUGAUUGUACUUGGUUUUUUCCAGUAUCAAUGAAGGCUAUUUUUCCUAAUUAAAAAAAAAGGGUUAAUUUGGAAUCAAGUGGAUUUUGGACUAUAAAUUUUACCAUCCUUUUUAAACUAUAUGAAUUUGUAAGGCUCAGAUAUGAAUUUGAAAUCUAUACCACAUACAAAGUAUGUAAUUAUUAUAUAUUGAGAAUUUGAAAUUAUUUAUAUAUAGUAAUUACAACAAUAAUGACAUGAAAAAUCGAAAGUUUAUUAAGGAGGGUGUAUUCAAUUGAGAUUUUAAUGGAUUGUUUUGAAGCUUAAAAGUAAAGUGGUAUUCAAUUAUGAUUUUAAGUAAUCAAUAAAAGUUUGAUGGUACUCAAUUAGGAUUUUUAAAUAAUCAAUGCAAGUCUGGUUGUAUUCAAUUAGGAUUUUCAAAAGAUAAGAAAAGUACCAUGGUAUUCAAAACUUACUGAUUUUAAUGUAUUUUAUUAAAUAAUGUAUUGCUGAGACUUUUGAGUGUGUGACAUAAAUACCAAAUCAAAUAACAAAUCUCAGCCUCCUAUGCCUGAUUCUCAUAUAUCUUUCUUCCCCCCAUUAUUUUUUUUAUGCUUUCUGUUGUGCAAAAAGAUUAUUAAAAAAAAAUCAUAAGAGAUACGAUGGCAAGAAGAUAGGAGGGGAGAAUGUGGGUGAUCGGUUGAGAAAUGUAUAGUAUAAUUUAGUUUUCACUGCUAUUACCAGCCACCGUAUAAUAUACUUUCUUCAAAGAUAUUUUUGCACGGUAGCAGCUUCAAAAGGAGUUGAACUUGAACAAAAAAGAUUAACCUCUUCUUCAAGAUUCCAUUGCACGGUGGCUAGGGAUUUUGCAAGGUCAGCAUUUGCAGCCUCCAGUUUAGCCAAACGUACAAAGACUUCCAUUCUAGUAUUAUCAUGUUUCUGCUUCUCUAAAAAAUAAGCAGCUUCCAUGGUUUCCAUAAUGGUAUAAUUCAACAAUUCCUCCUUUUGUACCAGAAAUAGUAAUCAAUAUUUCUGCAUAUGAAUUUUUUGAAAGGAUCUCCAACUGGAAUCCUAAGAAAAACAUUUAUCUACAAACAGAGUAAAUCCAGGGAAAGCAUUAAAGUAGAUCUAUGGAGAAAAGAUUACCAUGGAUGUUUAUGGUCCGAUUUCUAGUAGUGUCUAGACAUGUAUAGUUGAAACUGGACAUACAUAACAGUAUGUGUGAAAUUAUAACCAAAUAUGGGAAAGUCUAGCGGAACCUAGACAAAACUAGCCAAACAUAUGCAAAUUCAGCCACAGACUUGGGCAGACCAACCCAAAUUUGGCUAGAUCUAGUCAUAUCUAGCAAAAUCUGUUGAAAAAUAGAUGAAGAUAGGCACAACAAACAUUGGGCAAUGCCCAUCCAAACAAAGAUAAAAAUAAAAUAAAAACACGAGGGUAAAGGGUGAAGUCUGUAAUGCAAAAGAUCUGUUGUCAUGGUGCAGCUUCUUGAAACUUGAGCUCUAAUCAAACUCGUGAUUCACCAGAAAACUUCCACAUCACGUAUCGACCAUAAUUCAUCUUCAGCAAUAAGUAAUGCUGACAUCAACAUCAAACUUUUCAAUGGAAUUAAGCUCUAAUCGGAUCAAUGAUUUACCAGAAAGCUAAUUUGAGAAGCAAACUCUCCAACUAGUUUUUUGGUACAUCAUGGACCGACUAGAGCUCACCUCCAGCUUUACCAAUCAAAGGAAGUAAUAAUUUUUGUGCAAACUCUGGUCUAUAUGCAUUAGUAUAUAUAGGGGGUCUUAGUGGAUACUUAAAGAAUAUUGGCCAAUAUAUAAAAAUAAACAAAAAUAAAUUUUAAUAGUAAUCUAAACUAAUUAAGCUAACGUCAUUAAUGUUGUG